RNAcentral lists this long non-coding RNA (51505 nucleotides) under Brassica napus (rape). RNAcentral's name for it is "long non-coding RNA (BNAP_LNC022569)". The record is from RNAcentral. Lineage: Eukaryota; Viridiplantae; Streptophyta; Magnoliopsida; Brassicales; Brassicaceae.
GCACAAAUUAUAAAACAUGUCUUUUCUCUCCUCCACCGCUCUCUUCUUCUUUAUCGUUCUUCUUAAUCUGAGUUCUUUUCACGCCUCCGAUGGAGCUCAACAAGCUACUUACAUUGUUCACAUGGCGAAAUCUCAGAUGCCCUCGAGCUUCGACCACCACUCUCUCUGGUACGAUUCCUCACUCCGCUCAGUCUCAGAAUCCGCUGAAAUGAUCUACACCUACAACAAUGCGAUACAUGGAUUCGCCACUCGGCUUACUCCCGAAGAAGCCGACUCCCUCAUGACCCAACCUGGUGUCAUCUCGGUUCAACAAGAGCAGAAGUACGAGUUACACACCACUCGAACUCCACUAUUCCUUGGUCUCGACGGACAAAACGCAGGCCUAUUCCUCGAAACCGGCGCCUCAAGCGACAUUAUCCGUCGCUACGUCUUGACCGAUCCGAAUCCCACCACUUCCAUUUUGAUCAGAGGAACAGUCGUGAACGUCCGGCCAUCUCCGAUGGUUGCGACGUUUAGCUCGCGGGGACCUAAAACGAUAAUGCCAAACAUUCUCAAACUGGAUUUGAUAGCUCCGGGAGUCAAUAUCCUCGCCGCAUGGACCGGAGCUCGCGGGGACCUAAUACGAUACUCGCCGCGUGGAAUUCAACAUCAAGUCAGGAGCGUCCAUGUCUUGCCCUCACGUGAGCGGUUUGGCGGCUCUUCUCAUGUCUGUGCAUCUGGAAUGGAGCCCGGCGGCGAUUCGAUCGGCUCUCAUGACCACCGCUUACAAUACUUACAAAGACGGAAAACCGAUCCUCGACGUCGCGACGGGAAAACCUUCAACACCGUUCGAGCACGGGUCGCCCACGACGGCCGUUAAUCCAGGACUCAUCUACGAUCUAACAACGGAGGAUUAUAUAGAUUUCAUCUGCGCAUCGAAUUACAAUUCGUCGCUGAUCACAAUCAUAUCGAGAGGCAAUUACGCUUGUCCAAGAAAAACGCACCCCGCCGCUGAUCUAAACUAUCCGUCGUUCGCCGUUAACGUCAAAGGAUCCGGCACGUACAAGUACACCCGCACUGUCACAAACGUGGGAGGAGCUGGGUCAUACUCGGUUAAAGUAACGUCGGAGACAACGGCAGUCAAGAUUUCGGUUGAACCGCCGGUUUUGAAUUUCAAAGAAGUGAACGAGAAGAAAUCGUAUUCGGUGACGUUUACCGUUGUCUCAUCUAAGGCGCCAAGGUCUAACAGCUUCGGGAGCAUCGAAUGGUCAGAUGGAAAACACGUAGUGGCGAGUCCCGUGGCGAUUAGAUAGACAUAGGUGGUCAAUUAUGUCAAACUUGAGUAAGAAGAAAGCCACAGAUAUUGUAAUGCCGUUUAUCAUAAGAUCUCUGUUUAGCGAAAACGGCAUGCAGUCUGUUUUAUAAGUAAUUUCUCAUGAGACUUGAAUAUUUAAUGAAAAGUAAAAAUUGGUGACGACUAUGUUAGCUGGCUAGUGUCUUAUGACUAUUUUUAUUCGGAAAGGGCAUCUCCAAUAGUGCAUCAAAAUAAGGGAGAACAUACAAAAAUGAAGGAAAUCUAUUUCCAAUGUUACAUCAUUUUGAGAAAAAAAAAAUGAGUAUAUGAACGGUAUUCUUUCAAAUUUGAGGGAAUAUUAUUAAAAAUCUCAUUUUGAUGUUAAGUUUUUUUAUUUAUAUAAUGGUCAUUUACUAUUUGACAAUCUUUAUUUUAUGCAUAAAAAACAUUAACACUAAACAUAACUUUCAUAACUUUAUAUCAAUUAUGUAUAUACUGGUUAAACUUCUUAAAAUAUAAUUACCAAUAAUUAAUUAUUAAAAUAUAAUUUAUAAUUUUAUAGAUUAUAAUAUAUAAUUAAAAGAAAAUAAAAUAGAAAACAAUACCAUUAAGAUACAUAACUAAUACAAAGUUAAGAAAAACACAACAAACUUAAUACAACAUUUAACAAGAAUUGAGAGAGAAAAUGAAAAAAACCACUGGAGCAAAUCACAAACUCAUUUUAAAUUUAUUUCAUUUUGUAAGAAAAAAUGAUGGAAACCAUCGGAAAUGGUCUAAGUUUUGGACAUUGAAGAUACUAACAAUUAUUAAAUUAGUUUAUAAGAUAUGAAAUAUACUAGGCAUGCAUUACUAGUUCAUGACUGAUUUAAUGACUAAUCUUGAUUCACGUUGCAUGAAUGUGAACCACUCAACGUAGGAAACUAGACUUGUAAUUGUGAGGUUUGGUCAAAGUCCAUCAGACAUGUUCAAUGUUGGGCCGGCUUGCACAAGUUACGCGCGGAGAACAUAUGGACCUAAUCGUUGAAGCCCAUUAGGUCAAGUACUGAUACAAAUAAGGAAAGAUCACGACAGGGAUCUCCAAGCUCAAGCUGAGCCUCUAGGAGGUGAGAGCUUCCAUGGGGUCUCUUGGAGAGAUAGAGUAAGCUAGUGAUAGAUAUGUAAUCCUAGGCUUAGCUCUUAGCCAUGUACUUCUCUUGUAAUAUCUUUAUACUCUCUAGGGUUUGUAUACCCAGGACAGAGAGAGUAAUGAUCUUGUAAACCACAUCGGAGGUGUUUUCCGAUACUCCAUAGUGGAUGUUGUGGAUCCUGGAUCCGCCCCAAAUGUAGCGCGCUGCGGCCGUGAAAUGGGUGAACAAUUCUUGAGUCAUGAACAAGGAUGAAUCGUUUGAGUAGUGAAAGGGACAGAGGUAUUAUGAGCUUGUAUUCCGCAACAAGUGGGUAUCAUAACCCCCACAAGUGGUAUCAGAGCAUAUGAAUACCCCACAAGUGGUAUCAGAGCAUAGGCUCAUUGAUUCAUGGAGUCCACGUCUCGAGGAGGAGAGACAUAUGAAGAAGCUUCCAAGCGAGACAGAAGAAACUCGCAAGGUUUAAUGGAAGCUGGUGGUCACGUGGUUCUACACACGUGGAAUUCUGAUUAUGUUAAAAAUCAGAGGAUAAACCGAGUUACAAGAUCAGGUUAAAGAGAUUUUUGGUUUACAAGAGAANNNNNNNNNNNNNNNNNNNNNNNNNNNNNNNNNNNNNNNNNNNNNNNNNNNNNNNNNNNNNNNNNNNNNNNNNNNNNNNNNNNNNNNNNNNNNNNNNNNNNNNNNNNNNNNNNNNNNNNNNNNNNNNNNNNNNNNNNNNNNNNNNNNNNNNNNNNNNNNNNNNNNNNNNNNNNNNNNNNNNNNNNNNNNNNNNNNNNNNNNNNNNNNNNNNNNNNNNNNNNNNNNNNNNNNNNNNNNNNNNNNNNNNNNNNNNNNNNNNNNNNNNNNNNNNNNNNNNNNNNNNNNNNNNNNNNNNNNNNNNNNNNNNNNNNNNNNNNNNNNNNNNNNNNNNNNNNNNNNNNNNNNNNNNNNNNNNNNNNNNNNNNNNNNNNNNNNNNNNNNNNNNNNNNNNNNNNNNNNNNNNNNNNNNNNNNNNNNNNNNNNNNNNNNNNNNNNNNNNNNNNNNNNNNNNNNNNNNNNNNNNNNNNNNNNNNNNNNNNNNNNNNNNNNNNNNNNNNNNNNNNNNNNNNNNNNNNNNNNNNNNNNNNNNNNNNNNNNNNNNNNNNNNNNNNNNNNNNNNNNNNNNNNNNNNNNNNNNNNNNNNNNNNNNNNNNNNNNNNNNNNNNNNNNNNNNNNNNNNNNNNNNNNNNNNNNNNNNNNNNNNNNNNNNNNNNNNNNNNNNNNNNNNNNNNNNNNNNNNNNNNNNNNNNNNNNNNNNNNNNNNNNNNNNNNNNNNNNNNNNNNNNNNNNNNNNNNNNNNNNNNNNNNNNNNNNNNNNNNNNNNNNNNNNNNNNNNNNNNNNNNNNNNNNNNNNNNNNNNNNNNNNNNNNNNNNNNNNNNNNNNNNNNNNNNNNNNNNNNNNNGCGGGUCCGAGUCCUCUCUCAAGUCUGCCUCAGAAUCUGCUGAAAUGCUCUACACUUACAACAGCGCAAUACAUGGAUUCGCCACUCGGCUUACUCCCGAAGAAGCCGACUCCCUCAUGACCCAACCUGGUGUCAUCUCGGUUCGACAAGAGCAGCGGUACGAGUUACACACCACUCGGACUCCACUAUUCCUAGGUCUAGAUGUACACAACGGAGGCCUAUUCCCCGAAACCAGCACAUCUAGCAACCUUGUCAUUGGAGUUCUUGACACUGGUAUUUGGCCAGAGAGCAAAAGCUUCUCCGACGAAGGAUACGGUCCUAUUCCGUCGACAUGGAAAGGCGAAUGCGAGGCUGGGACUAACUUCACCGCUUCGCUCUGUAACCGCAAACUAGUAGGAGCUAGAUUCUUCGCUGGGGGUUACGAAGCAAGAGUGGGACCAGUCAACGAAUCCAUGGAAUCAAGAUCGCCUAGAGACGACGAAGGUCACGGAACACACACGGCGUCAACAGCAGCGGGAUCAGUCGUGGAAGGAGCUAAUCUUUUAGGGUUUGCUAAUGGAACGGCUCGUGGGAUUGCUUAUCGCGCUCGAGUGGCUGUUUACAAAGUUUGUUGGCAACCUGGUUGCUUCAGCUCAGAUAUUUUAGCUGGAAUGGAUAAAGCCAUCGAAGAUAAUGUCAACGUUCUGUCUAUAUCUCUCAGCGGUCCAAGGACAGAUUAUACAGACGAUAUUGCCGUUGGAGCAUUCGCGGCCAUGGAAAGAGGGAUCUUUGUUUCUUGCUCAGCUGGCAAUUUUGGUCCCAGCCCUUUCAGUGUAGCGAACAUAGCUCCGUGGAUUACUACGGUUGGUGCUGGUACUAUUGAUCGUGAUUUUCCCGCCCUUGCGAUUCUCGGCAAUGGGAAGAACUACACUGGAGUUUCGUUAUUUAAAGGAGAUGCACUUCCAGCUAAAAUGUUGCCAUUUAUUUACGCGGGGAAUGCUAGUAACAAUGCUACUUAUGGAAAUUUUUGUAUCUCCGGAACACUAAUUCCUGAGAAGGUAAAGGGGAAGAUCGUAAUGUGCGAUACAGGAGGAAAUCAAGCUAGGAAAGGGGAGGUGGUGAAAGCUGCUGGUGGACUCGGAAUGAUUCUAGCGAAUUUGGCAGAGGAAGGAGAAGAAGUUCAGGCGGAGGCUCACUUUUUACCGGCGACCGCUGUGGGAGAGAAAGCCGGUGACAUUAUCCGCCGCUACGUCUUGACCGAUCCGAAUCCAACGGCUUCAGUUGUGAUCCAAGGCACUGUCGUCCACGUCAAGCCCUCUCCUGUGCUUGCAGCAUUUAGCUCGCGAGGACCUAAUCCCAUAACGCCAAACAUUCUCAAACCGGACUUGAUUGCUCCGGGAGUCAAUAUCCUCGCCGCGUGGACCGGAGCUCUGGGUCCCACCGGACUAGCUUCCGAUACUCGCCGCGUGGAAUUCAACAUCAUCUCAGGAACGUCCAUGUCUUGCCCUCACGUGAGCGGUUUAGCGGCUCUUCUCAAGUCUGUGCAUCCCGAAUGGAGCCCGGCCGCGAUUCGAUCUGCUCUCAUGACCACCGCUUACAAUACCUACAAAGACGGCAAACGGAUCCGGGACAUCGCGACGGGGAAACCUUCUACGCCGUUCGAGCACGGUGCAGGACAUGUAUCGCCAACGAUCGCCGUCAAUCCAGGACUCAUCUACGAUCUAACGACGGUGGAUUAUUUAGAUUUCCUCUGCGCAUUGAAAUACAAUUCGUCGCUGAUCAGAAUCAUAUCGAGAGGCAAUUACACUUGCAACCCAAGCAAAAAUUACUCCGUCGCUGAUCUAAACUAUCCGUCGUUUGCCGUUAACGUCGACGGAUCCGACACGUACAAGUACACACGCACUGUCACAAACGUUGGAGGAGCUGGGUCGUACUCGGUUAAAGUAACGUCGGAGACAACGGCAGUCAAAAUUUCGGUUCAACCGGCGGUUUUGAAUUUCAAGGAAGUAAACGAGAAGAAAUCGUAUUCAGUGACGUUUACCGUUGACUCGUCUAAGCCGUCUGGGUCUAACAGCUUUGGGAGCAUUGAGUGGUCAGAUGGGAAACACGUGGUGGCUAGUCCGGUGGCUAUUAGCUGGACAUAGUAGUCAAUUACGACUACCUUGAGAAAGAAGAAAGUCACAUAUAUUGUAAUGUCGUUUUUCAUAAGAGCUCUGUUUAGCGAAAACAGCAUGCAGUCUGUUUUGUACGUAAUUUUUAUCACUAGACUUGAAUAUUUAAUGAAAAGUAAAAAAGUAUGGCUUUUGUUAAAAGCAAUUUCACCUAUUUACAUGAUUGUGAACCACUCUAAGUAGAAAACUAUCACUAAUCAAUUACCUCCAGUGUUUCAUAACAAUGUGACUGCAAUGAGUUUAAACAUAUUUUAAUCUAAUAACAUAAAUCACCAAUAAUAACAAGUUCAUCAGUAUGAGGUACUAAGGAGAGCAAUCGAAAUAACAAACUAUUUUUUUUAAUUGAAAUAACAAAAUGUUUGGCUUUUGUUAAAAGCGAGCAAUUUCACCUAUUUACAUUACACAAAUUUGCAGAGGAAAAUCCAAAAUAAAAGAAAAAGAUAAAAUUCAUGAAUACUGGCACUCGACUCAAAUUUAAUCAAGGUCCAAUUACAACUUGAUAUAGAAUUUUAUUUUCAAAAAUUUAAUAUAAAAAUAAGGACGUGAACAAGAGUCAAAAACCCACCGUGGCAUUAUCUAUCACUCAGGGACCAAUACAAUGGACCAACCUGCCAGCUUUUGAUGUUGCUACAAUUUUUAUUUUUCCUGGUUUAUAAAAAUAUAAACUAAAGUAAAAAGAAAAUCUGAAAAUGUAUCACUGUAAUGUUAGCUAUUUUUAUGUGAUUUUAGUUAGUUUGAUCUGAUAUUCAUGUCGUACCAUACAACCAAAGUCUCUAGUUGCCACUCACAUUAUUUGGAUCCAACCCUCAAAGCCCCAUAGAAUAUAUAUAUAUAUAUAUGGAAAGUAGUUCGUUACUUCGCUUUUGUCUUGUGAUGAGCCUUAAUGGACUUACAAUAUUCUUAAACCCUAAACCCUGAUUUUAAAACACCAAAGCAUUCAUGUCAGCCUAGAGAAUUUGCAGUAGAGAUUCAUACCAGAAAGCCGAGAGUAAGAUGGCAUCCCUUGGAGGAGGAUCUUCCGGAUUAACCGAUGGAUAGCUCACACUCAUUUGCUUCUCUUAUCAUAUAAAAUUUCGGGGAAACAAAUCAAGCGAUGAGUAUAGCUUAUUGAUCAUUUUCCUUUCAAAUACUCGUACACUUCAAAUCUAAUUCAAGUUCUUAUAAGGUAAAACUUUUCUGGCUAGAUUCCAGAAGGUAAACUUGUGUUCACACUUCACAGUCACCUAUAAACCAUCUUUAUAGUCUCAAACAAAUCACAGUCAGUAUAUCUAGUAUAGUAAUCAUUAAUCAGUGUAACUGGAUAAUUAUUUCAUGUCGAACAUAGUAAACUUAUGAGAACAAAAGUCUUUAUCUUUUGUCCUUGGUGAACAGAAGUCUACAAACAUUAAAAUUUACGAAAUAAAUUGAGAGAGAAAUCAAAAUGUGUGUGUGGAAAACCACUGUAACAUACAAACAAAAUAUACUCAAAAUUUUGAAUUUUGCAUUAGUACACACCACCAAAUAAUCUUCUAGAGAUAUGAACUAAGAGGCUAUAUUCACUUUAGUGUUAAAAGUUUUUGAACGUCAUUAUGGUUUUCUCGAUCCCCCAUGAUACUAUCAAACCUAUAAACCGUCUUUAUAGUCUAAAACAAGUCACAGUAAAUAUGAGGAUUAAAAACGUUAAUACUAAUCGGAAACACACAAUCUCAAGAUUAUAAUCUCGAGAUAAUACUAGAGUAUAGUAAUUAGUGUAAUUGGAUAAAUAUUAUUUCAAGUUGAACAUAGGUAAAAAUUAUGCGAACAAAAGUCUUUAUUUUUUGUCUUGGUGAGCAGAAGUCUACAGAGAUUAGAAUUUACGUAAAAACAAAAUUAAUCACUUUCGAAGCAGAAUAGUGGACAGGAGUCUAGUUGCCCAUUAUCUCUUUUUUUUUUUUUUUAAAAACACACUUGUCCAGUAUCUCCUCACUCUCUUUUUAUACUCUAUAUAAUCUCCCUCGCGUCUUUAACAUUUUCCGCACAAAUUAUAAAACAUGUCUUUUCUCUCCUCCACCGCUCUCUUCUUCUUUAUCGUUCUUCUUAAUCUGAGUUCUUUUCACGCCUCCGAUGGAGCUCAACAAGCUACUUACAUUGUUCACAUGGCGAAAUCUCAGAUGCCCUCGAGCUUCGACCACCACUCUCUCUGGUACGAUUCCUCACUCCGCUCAGUCUCAGAAUCCGCUGAAAUGAUCUACACCUACAACAAUGCGAUACAUGGAUUCGCCACUCGGCUUACUCCCGGAGAAGCCGACUCACUCAUGACCCAACCUGGUGUCAUCUCGGUUCAACAAGAGCAGAAGUACGAGUUACACACCACUCGAACUCCAUUAUUCCUUGGUCUCGACGGACAAAACGCAGGACUAUUCCCCGAAACCGGCGCCUCAAGCGACAUAGUCAUAGGAGUUCUGGACACCGGUAUUUGGCCAGAGAGCAAAAGCUUCUCUGAUGAAGGAUACGGUCCAAUUCCAUCUACAUGGAAAGGCGAAUGCCAGGCUGGGACUAACUUCACCGCUUCGCUGUGUAACCGCAAACUAAUCGGAGCUAGAUUCUUCUCUGACGGUUACGAAAGAGAUUAUGGAAAAAUCAACCAAGCCGACGAGUCGAAAUCGCCGAGAGACGACUUCGGUCAUGGAACACACACGGCGUCAACCGCGGCUGGAAACGUCGUGAAAGGAGCUAAUUAUUUAGGCUUUGCUAGUGGGACGGCUAGUGGGAUGGCUCAUCGCGUCCGAGUGUCUGUUUACAAAGUUUGUUGGAAAAGUGCUUGCGUGAGCUCAGAUAUUUUAGCUGGAAUGGAUAAAGCCAUCGAAGAUAAUGUCCACAUUAUGUCAUUAUCUAUCGGUGGUAAAUCGACAAGUUAUACAGGCGAAAUUUCCAUGGGUGCAUUCUCGGCCAUGGAAAGAGGGAUCUUUGUUUCCUGCUCUGCUGGUAAUGAUGGUCCCAGCCCAUCCAGCUUAUCAAACGCAGCUCCCUGGAUUACUACUGUUGGUGCUAGUAGUAUUGACCGUGAGUUUCCCGGGGUUGUGAUCCUCGGCAACGGAAAGAACUAUACUGGAGUUUCGUUGUUCAAUGGAAAUGCUCUUCCUGCUAAAUUGUUGCCGUUUGUUUAUGGAAAUUAUUGUAGCCGCGGAACACUAAAUCCUGAGAAGGUAAAGGGGAAGAUCGUGAUGUGCAUCAAAGAUGACAGUGUAAGGACUGAGAAAGGGGAGGUGGUGAAAGCUGCCGGUGGACUCGGAAUGAUUCUGGCAAAUGCAGCAGGGAGCGGAGAAGAAGUUCUGGCGGAUGCUCAUGUGUUACCUGUGACCGCCGUGGGACAGAAAGCCGGUGACAUUAUCCGUCGCUACGUCUUGACCGAUCCGAAUCCCACCGCUUCCAUUUUGAUCAGAGGAACGGUCGUGAACGUCCGGCCAUCUCCGAUGGUUGCCGCGUUUAGCUCGCGGGGACCUAAUACGAUAACGCCAAACAUUCUCAAACCGGAUUUGAUAGCUCCUGGAGUCAAUAUCCUCGCCGCAUGGACCGGAGCUCUGGGUCCCAGUGGACUCGGAACCACUUCCGAUACUCGUCGCGUGGAAUUCAACAUCAACUCGGGAACGUCCAUGUCUUGCCCUCACGUGAGCGGUUUAGCGGCUCUCCUCAAGUCUGUGCAUCCGGAAUGGAGCCCCGCGGCAAUUCGAUCGGCUCUCAUGACCACCGCUUACAAUACCUACAAAGACGGCAAACCGAUCCUCGACGUCGCGACGGGAAAACCUUCAACACCGUUCGAGCACGGUGCAGGACACGUGUCGCCCACGGCGGCCGUCAAUCCAGGACUCAUCUACGAUCUAACGACGGAGGAUUAUAUAGAUUUCAUCUGCGCAUCGAAUUAUAAUUCGUCGCUGAUCACAAUCAUAUCGAGAGGCAAUUACGCUUGUCCAAGAAAAACGCACCCCGCAGCUGAUCUAAACUAUCCGUCGUUCGCCGUUAACGUCAAAGGAUCCGGCACGUACAAGUACACCCGCACUGUCACAAACGUGGGAGGAGCUGGGUCAUACUCGGUUAAAGUAACGUCGGAGACAACGGCAGUCAAGAUUUCGGUUGAACCGGCGGUUUUGAAUUUCAAAGAAGUGAACGAGAAGAAAUCGUAUUCGGUAACGUUUACCGUUAUCUCAUCUAAGGCGCCAAUGUCUAACAGCUUCGGGAGCAUUGAAUGGUCAGAUGGGAAACACGUGGUGGCCAGUCCCGUGGCGAUUAGCUGGACAUAGGUGGUCCAUGAAGAAAUAUGGCGACUUGAGUAAGAAGAAAGCAACAGAUAUUGUAAUUUCUCAUGAGCCUUGGAUAUUUAAUGAAAAGUAAAAAAUUGGUAAGUACUAUUUUAGCUGGCUAGUGUGUUAUGAAUAUUCUUAUUUACUAGGCUGUGGACAUUGUAGAUACUGACAAUUAUUAGAUUAGUUUAUGAGAUAUGAAAUAUACUAGGCACUUGAUUCACGUUGCAUGAAUGUGAACCACUCAACGUAGGAAACUAUCACUAAUCAAAUACAUCUAGUGUAUCAUAACAAUGUGAUUACGAUGAGUUAAAAAAUAUGAAUCUAAUAACAUAGAGAAAAAGUAGAAACGACUCUAAGAGCUAAUCAUAACCAACUAGAGGUUUCAUUUCAAGAACCAACAAUAACAAGUUCAUAAACAUGAGGUAAUAAAAGAUAUCAAUCGAAAUAAAUACCUAUCUUCAAACAAACUAUAAAAAUGUAUGGCUUUUGUUAAAAGCAAACUCACCUCUUUCCAGUACACAAAUUUGCAGAGAAAAAUCCAAAAAAAAAAAGAAAAGGAUAAAACAAAUUCACGAAUAGUAACUCAAUUUUGAUCAACGUCCAAUUAAAACCCUGAUAUGUAAUUUUAUUUUCAGAAACCCAUCGUGGCAUUAUCACUCAGAGACUAAUACAAUUGGACCAACCUGCCAGCUUCUGAUGUUGCUAUAUUUUUAUUUUUUUUCUGUUUUAUAAAAAUAAAAACUAAUGUUAAAAGAGAGAAUGUAUCCCUGUAUUGUUAACUAUUGAUAUGAUUUAGUUAGUCUGAUCUGAUGUGAAGACAUGUUAAUUCAUACCAUACAAACCAAAGUCUCAAAUUGCCACCCACAUUAUUUGGAUCCCAACCGUCAAAAGCAUUGGUUAGUUGGUGUCUUCGACGAAACUCAUUGAGAUCUUUGCAAAGUAGUUCGUUUCUUUGCUUCUGUCUUGUGAUGAGCCUUAAAGAUAUUAAUAGACUCACAACUUACAUAAACCCUAAACCUGAUUUUAAAGUUGAGGAGGAUCAUGAACUUUAAAGAUAUUAAUAGACUCAUAACUUUGCUUCUGUUUUGUGAUAAGUUACAGCAGCCGGACUAGGAUCUUCCACCAAUGAACCGAUGCAUGGCUCACACUAAUUUGCUUCUCUUAUCUAAAACAAAUUUCGGGGAAAUAAAGCGAUGAGUAGAGCUUAUUGAUGAUUUCCUCACUCCGCUCAGUCUCAGAAUCCGCUGAAAUGAUCUACACCUACAACAAUGCGAUACAUGGAUUCGCCACUCGGCUUACUCCCGGAGAAGCCGACUCACUCAUGACCCAACCUGGUGUCAUCUCGGUUCAACAAGAGCAGAAGUACGAGUUACACACCACUCGAACUCCAUUAUUCCUUGGUCUCGACGGACAAAACGCAGGACUAUUCCCCGAAACCGGCGCCUCAAGCGACAUAGUCAUAGGAGUUCUGGACACCGGUAUUUGGCCAGAGAGCAAAAGCUUCUCUGAUGAAGGAUACGGUCCAAUUCCAUCUACAUGGAAAGGCGAAUGCCAGGCUGGGACUAACUUCACCGCUUCGCUGUGUAACCGCAAACUAAUCGGAGCUAGAUUCUUCUCUGACGGUUACGAAAGAGAUUAUGGAAAAAUCAACCAAGCCGACGAGUCGAAAUCGCCGAGAGACGACUUCGGUCAUGGAACACACACGGCGUCAACCGCGGCUGGAAACGUCGUGAAAGGAGCUAAUUAUUUAGGCUUUGCUAGUGGGACGGCUAGUGGGAUGGCUCAUCGCGUCCGAGUGUCUGUUUACAAAGUUUGUUGGAAAAGUGCUUGCGUGAGCUCAGAUAUUUUAGCUGGAAUGGAUAAAGCCAUCGAAGAUAAUGUCCACAUUAUGUCAUUAUCUAUCGGUGGUAAAUCGACAAGUUAUACAGGCGAAAUUUCCAUGGGUGCAUUCUCGGCCAUGGAAAGAGGGAUCUUUGUUUCCUGCUCUGCUGGUAAUGAUGGUCCCAGCCCAUCCAGCUUAUCAAACGCAGCUCCCUGGAUUACUACUGUUGGUGCUAGUAGUAUUGACCGUGAGUUUCCCGGGGUUGUGAUCCUCGGCAACGGAAAGAACUAUACUGGAGUUUCGUUGUUCAAUGGAAAUGCUCUUCCUGCUAAAUUGUUGCCGUUUGUUUAUGGAAAUUAUUGUAGCCGCGGAACACUAAAUCCUGAGAAGGUAAAGGGGAAGAUCGUGAUGUGCAUCAAAGAUGACAGUGUAAGGACUGAGAAAGGGGAGGUGGUGAAAGCUGCCGGUGGACUCGGAAUGAUUCUGGCAAAUGCAGCAGGGAGCGGAGAAGAAGUUCUGGCGGAUGCUCAUGUGUUACCUGUGACCGCCGUGGGACAGAAAGCCGGUGACAUUAUCCGUCGCUACGUCUUGACCGAUCCGAAUCCCACCGCUUCCAUUUUGAUCAGAGGAACGGUCGUGAACGUCCGGCCAUCUCCGAUGGUUGCCGCGUUUAGCUCGCGGGGACCUAAUACGAUAACGCCAAACAUUCUCAAACCGGAUUUGAUAGCUCCUGGAGUCAAUAUCCUCGCCGCAUGGACCGGAGCUCUGGGUCCCAGUGGACUCGGAACCACUUCCGAUACUCGUCGCGUGGAAUUCAACAUCAACUCGGGAACGUCCAUGUCUUGCCCUCACGUGAGCGGUUUAGCGGCUCUCCUCAAGUCUGUGCAUCCGGAAUGGAGCCCCGCGGCAAUUCGAUCGGCUCUCAUGACCACCGCUUACAAUACCUACAAAGACGGCAAACCGAUCCUCGACGUCGCGACGGGAAAACCUUCAACACCGUUCGAGCACGGUGCAGGACACGUGUCGCCCACGGCGGCCGUCAAUCCAGGACUCAUCUACGAUCUAACGACGGAGGAUUAUAUAGAUUUCAUCUGCGCAUCGAAUUAUAAUUCGUCGCUGAUCACAAUCAUAUCGAGAGGCAAUUACGCUUGUCCAAGAAAAACGCACCCCGCAGCUGAUCUAAACUAUCCGUCGUUCGCCGUUAACGUCAAAGGAUCCGGCACGUACAAGUACACCCGCACUGUCACAAACGUGGGAGGAGCUGGGUCAUACUCGGUUAAAGUAACGUCGGAGACAACGGCAGUCAAGAUUUCGGUUGAACCGGCGGUUUUGAAUUUCAAAGAAGUGAACGAGAAGAAAUCGUAUUCGGUAACGUUUACCGUUAUCUCAUCUAAGGCGCCAAUGUCUAACAGCUUCGGGAGCAUUGAAUGGUCAGAUGGGAAACACGUGGUGGCCAGUCCCGUGGCGAUUAGCUGGACAUAGGUGGUCCAUGAAGAAAUAUGGCGACUUGAGUAAGAAGAAAGCAACAGAUAUUGUAAUUUCUCAUGAGCCUUGGAUAUUUAAUGAAAAGUAAAAAAUUGGUAAGUACUAUUUUAGCUGGCUAGUGUGUUAUGAAUAUUCUUAUUUACUAGGCUGUGGACAUUGUAGAUACUGACAAUUAUUAGAUUAGUUUAUGAGAUAUGAAAUAUACUAGGCACUUGAUUCACGUUGCAUGAAUGUGAACCACUCAACGUAGGAAACUAUCACUAAUCAAAUACAUCUAGUGUAUCAUAACAAUGUGAUUACGAUGAGUUAAAAAAUAUGAAUCUAAUAACAUAGAGAAAAAGUAGAAACGACUCUAAGAGCUAAUCAUAACCAACUAGAGGUUUCAUUUCAAGAACCAACAAUAACAAGUUCAUAAACAUGAGGUAAUAAAAGAUAUCAAUCGAAAUAAAUACCUAUCUUCAAACAAACUAUAAAAAUGUAUGGCUUUUGUUAAAAGCAAACUCACCUCUUUCCAGUACACAAAUUUGCAGAGAAAAAUCCAAAAAAAAAAAGAAAAGGAUAAAACAAAUUCACGAAUAGUAACUCAAUUUUGAUCAACGUCCAAUUAAAACCCUGAUAUGUAAUUUUAUUUUCAGAAACCCAUCGUGGCAUUAUCACUCAGAGACUAAUACAAUUGGACCAACCUGCCAGCUUCUGAUGUUGCUAUAUUUUUAUUUUUUUUCUGUUUUAUAAAAAUAAAAACUAAUGUUAAAAGAGAGAAUGUAUCCCUGUAUUGUUAACUAUUGAUAUGAUUUAGUUAGUCUGAUCUGAUGUGAAGACAUGUUAAUUCAUACCAUACAAACCAAAGUCUCAAAUUGCCACCCACAUUAUUUGGAUCCCAACCGUCAAAAGCAUUGGUUAGUUGGUGUCUUCGACGAAACUCAUUGAGAUCUUUGCAAAGUAGUUCGUUUCUUUGCUUCUGUCUUGUGAUGAGCCUUAAAGAUAUUAAUAGACUCACAACUUACAUAAACCCUAAACCUGAUUUUAAAGUUGAGGAGGAUCAUGAACUUUAAAGAUAUUAAUAGACUCAUAACUUUGCUUCUGUUUUGUGAUAAGUUACAGCAGCCGGACUAGGAUCUUCCACCAAUGAACCGAUGCAUGGCUCACACUAAUUUGCUUCUCUUAUCUAAAACAAAUUUCGGGGAAAUAAAGCGAUGAGUAGAGCUUAUUGAUGAUUUUCCCUUUAGAAUCCUCUCACAUUUCAAAUAUAAUUUCAAAUUGUUAUAAGGUAAAACUUUUCUGGCUAGAUUCCAACUAGUAGUUUCGUUCAAAGGGAGAAAAUGAGAUCAAAUUAAAUCGUCUAAUAUUCACUUUGUUUUAAUGGUUUUUAUCCAACCUAUAAACCAUUUUUAUAGUCUCAAACAAGUCACAGUAAACAUCAAAAAGAACACAGGUAAACUUAUGUUCACAGUCACCUAUAAACUAUCUUUAUAGUCUCAAACAAGUCACAGCCAAUAUAUCCAGUAUAGUAAUCAGUGUGAUAUAUUAUUUGAUGUUGAACAUAGGUAAACUUCUCUGAACAAAAGUCUUUAUAUUUUGUCUUUGAACAGAAGUCUUCUAACAUUAAAAUUUACAAAAAGAACAAAAAUAAAUUUAGAGACAAAUCAAAACGGAAAGCAAAACUGAUCACUUUCAAAACAGAAUAGUGGACAGAAGAGUCUAAGAGCACCUCCAGUGCAUUACAUAACAUAAGUACACCACCAAAUAAUCUUCUAGUUAGAGAUAUGAAUUAAAAGGCUAUAUUCACUUAGUCUUAGAUUUUUAUCAAAACAUAUAAACCAUUUUUAUAGAGACUCAACAAGUUGUCAGCAUCAUAGUUAAAAUAUGUUAAUACUAAAUAGAAACAGAGAAUCUUAAAAUAAUAAAACAAUAAUAAUCUCGAGCUAAUACUGAAAUAUAAUAGUCAGUGUAAUUGAAUAUAUAUUAUUUCAUGUUGAACAUAGGUCAACUUAUGUGAACAAAAGUCUUUUAGGUUUUGUCCUCUUUGAAGAUAAGUCUAUAAACCUUAAAAAUUUACGGAAAAAAAAAACAAAAAAAAAAAUCAGAGAGAAAUCAAAAUGUGUGUGUGGAAAACCAACAUAACAUACAAACAAAAUAUACUUUAAAGGAAAUUGGAUUUUAUACAACUACACCAAGUAUAAUCUUCUAGAGUUAUAUAUUAAGGUUAUAUUCACUUAGUGUUAAUGUUUUUUGAACAUCAUAAAGGUCUUCUGAAUCCCUCAUGGCAUGAUGAUUUUAUCAAAACUAUAACCGAUCUUUAUCAUCUCAAACGAGUCACAGUAAAUAUCAGAAUUAAAGAGGUAAUACUAAACAAAAACAUAGAAUCUCAAGAAAAUAAACCAAUAAUUGUCUCGAGAUAAUACCAUAGUAUAGUAAAAAAAAUUGAUAAUCCGGAGUAUCCAAAUCCGAAAGACUAACUGAUUUUUUGGGGUCGAUCCACCGGCCACAGACAAGCUCGUUUACUCUAUAUGAGAGUUACAUAUCCAAGCCGCCUAAAUAUAUGCAGAUGAAUAAAUUUAAAUGGUAGGUUUUGGACUCGGGAUGCUCAGCACGUUUUCGAACCUGUCGUAUCACUCGAUAAUAUAUGUAUGGUUAAUUAUAGUAAUUAGUGUAAGUGGAUAUAUUAUUAUUUCAUGUUGAACAUAGUUAAUAUCAUGUGAACAAAAGUCUUUAUUUUUUGUCUUGAUGAACAAAGUCUACGAAGAUUAAAAUUUACCUAAAAACAAAAGUAAAUUUUAGAGAAGUCGAAAAGAAAAACGAAAGAGAUCACUUUAAAAGCAGAAUAGUGAACAAGAGUGUUAUAGUAAUAUCUCCUCACUCUCUUUCUCGACUCUAUAUAAACUCUCUCGCAUCUUCACAUUUUCCACACAACUUCACAAAACAUGUCUUCUUCGUUUGUCUCAUCCACUGCUUCUUUCUUCUUUAUCGUUCUUCUUUAUCACGGUUCCUUCCACGUCUCCGAUGGAGCUCAACAAGCUACAUUCAUUGUUCACAUGGCGAAAUAUCAGAUGCCCUCAAGCUUCGACCACCACUCUCUCUCUGGUACGAGUCCUCUCUCAAAUCCGUAUCAGAAUCUGCUGAAAUGCUCUACACUUACAACAAUGUAAUUCACGGAUUACUUCCGAAGAAGCUGACUCACUCAUGACCACCGCUUACAAUACCUACAAAGACGGACAACCGAUCAUUGACAUCGGGACGGUAAAACCUUCAACGCCGAUUGGGCACGGUGCAGGACACGUGUCACCGACGACGGCCAUCAGUCCAGGACUCAUCUACGAUCUAACGACUAAGUAUUAUAUAGAUUUCCUCUGCGCAUUGAAUUAUAAUUCGUCGCAGAUAAUAAAAGUAUCGAGAGGCAAUUACACUUGCGAUACAAGGAAAACUUACUCCGUUGCUUAUCUAAACUAUCCAUCGUUUGCCGUUAACGUCGACGGGUCCGACACGUACAAGUACACACGCACGGUCACAGCAGUUAAGAUUUCGGUUGAACCGCCGGAUUUGAUUUUCAAAGAAGUAAACGAGAAGAAAUCGUAUUCGGUAACGUUUACUGUUGACCCGUCGAAGCCGUCAGGGUCUAACAGCUUUGGCAGCAUCGAGUGGUCGGAUGGGAAACACGUGGUAGCCAGUCCAGUGGCAAUUAGCUGGACAUAGUAGUCAAUUACGACUAACUUGAGAAAGAAGAAAGUUACAGAUAUAAAAAAAAAAAAAGAAAGUUACAGAUAUUUAUAUGCCGUUUUCCAUAAGAACUCUGUUUAGCGAAAACGGCAUGAAGUCGGUUUUCUAGGUAAUAUAACAAGAGACUUGAAUAUUUAAUGAAAAGUAAAAAAAUGGUAACGACUAGUUUAGCUGGCUAGUGUGUUAUGACUUUUUUUAUUUACUAGGCUAUCGACAUUGUAAGAUACUGAAAAAUAAAAUGAACAAUAUCAAAUAAAAUAAUAAAGCAAAGAAAUAUCAUUAAAACGAAUCAGCUUAAUAUAUCUUAUUAAAUAAAGUUUACAUAUUCCACGUCACUCUGGAGAGGGGGAGUUUUCUUGCCACGUGUCGCCUCACCAAACAAACGAUUUCUGUGUAAUCCGGUCUUAUUCGAACUGGGCUUUUAUUAAAUUUUAUUAUUAAGCUCAAUAUUAUGUCAAGCUCACGUAUCAUUAGCUAUCUUCUUCCUUUCAAGCUUGCGACUUCCCCGAUGCAAUUUCCAGAAACUUAAAUCGAUGUUCCUAUCUCCGUAUCGUCUCAGCCUUCCAUUAAUCCGUUCUUAACUCAGAGUUUUUGCGUGUUUGAUCCACCCCUCUCACUGCAAAGUUUUGUUUUUGUUAGGGAAAAGGGAUGAAGUCAGAGCGUGCUGCCAAAUUGAUGCUAGAGGCGCUGCUUAUGCUGUUCCUGGCUCUCGCAAGACGGUGACUUGAGGUUCGGCUCCUUUGAAAUCUGUGUGUUCUUUGGUCGUUUAUAUUUUUAGUGCGUUAAGGUGUUAGUUUCUGCUUCUUGAGUUAGUUUUAAGCAAAGUGUUGAGUAUGGUACAACAAUCAAGCAUAAAAAAUCGUCGUUUUUCAGUAAAAUGAAAGUUAGAUUCUUUGAUGUGUGAAUCUGUGGCUAUGAUGUAUUAAAACAUAUUGGUUUGCAGGGAGAUAAUGUUACAAUGAAAUUAAGAUCGUAUGGAUAGUUGGAACCUCAUUUGCAGCUGAAGAAUAAGCAUGUCGGUUCAAGUUUCUUACACACAGCUCCUCAUAGAUGGAAACUUCGUCGACUCUGCUUCUGGUGAGUAAUAUUUUCAUUCAUAAACAUCGGAAUAACAAAGGAAAAUUUUGAAUUUUGAGAUUCAAGUUCCAUGAGCACUAAUGUUUGGUUUUGGAUUGGGAGUUUAAGUAAGACGUUCCCGACUCUUGAUCGACGCACAUGGAAAGUCAUUGUGAACGUAGCUGAAGGCGACACUGAAGAUAUCAACCAGGCGGUGAAAGCUGCAAGGAAGGCCAUUGAUGCGGACCUUGGCCAAAGAUGACCGUUGGAAUUCAUGGACCAUAGUCACCUACAAUGUGGUCACUGAAGCGUUCGGGAGAGAAGGAGCUUGAAAAAAUGGAAUAUUUAUUAAGGCUAAUGCAAUCAGAGAGAAUAAAACAGAGAUGCGUUCACCACUGUCAUUUUAUAAGGAUUUAUUAAAUAUAACUGAUUUUGAAGGGUACUUCUCAAAACUUUAUACUAAUCUCAGAUUAGUCUAUAAGUGAUUUAUAAACUGUACAAAUGAUUUAUUAACUUUUAUAAAAUAUUUAUAGAUCUUUAUAAAUUGUUAUGGACUCUUAUAAAAACUUUAUAGCUUCAAAUAAUGCAUCGAUAAGGUAGCCUUUAUGUUCUUAACAACAAAAAAUACAUUAUUUGUCUUCUACCAUGAUGCAAUCAUAUCUCACUUUUUUUAAAAGGGCAACCGCCUCGACACAAAUAGCAACUACAAUAUUAAAUUUUCAAAUUAAUCAAAAUGGCUAGUUAUAAAUGUCCAUAAAUAAAUUACAACAAUAGCGGUUUCAAAUCAGCAAUGGAACUAUUAUGCUCUCUUAUUUGCGAUCAUAUUUUCUAUUUCUACUGCAUUGAUCAAUGGCUUCGUACCGAUAAAAGUUGUUCCAUAUAUAAGAAAAGUCAUCUAUAUUUCAGAAUUAUUACAAUUUAUAAAGGAGUUUCUUAUGUUCCAAUUUUUAGUUUUAUUUACAUACUGUUUUUUUAAUUUUCGUUUUAAUUUUCAAACAAAAUAUUUUCUCAUUUCCUAAUAUGUUCCAUUGUCAGAAUAGGUUUCUUAUCAAAAAUCAAAUAAGAAGAAUAUAUAUAAAAAAAAAUUCAUUAUAUACGUUUAAAUAAAACAUCAAAUUUACUUUAUGUUUAAAUUUUAAUUAAAUUAACUAUGUAACGACUAUCAAUUUUUUACUCUACUUUUAUUGAAUCGAUUAGUCACAACCACUUAUGCUAUUAUACUUUGAAAUAAGCAAUUUCAAAACAAAUUAAUACAUUACGGUCGUUAACCACUGGACCAGAAAAUAUAUAAUUUUCUUUCAACAAAUUUCUGUUUUCAUAUUUUUGAACAUAUUUUCUUUACUAAAACCAUAAAAUGAAUUGUAAAUUCAUGUAAAAAUAAAACACACGAACCCCGGCGCUUACCACUAGUAUAUAUAUAUAUACACUUAAAAAGUCAUUUUUUUAAUUUGUGUGGGUCUAAGCCAAAGUUGGAAUAUUUUUGCUGUGGUUUUGGAUUCACUAGUUGCCUAGUUGCCAACGUUUUUAGUGGCAGAAAACUCAGGCUUUUAUAAAUUUAGUUGAAUUAUUCUGAUUUUGUCCAGAAAAUUUAACUAGAAAAACAAAUUUUGAAGAAAACUGUUUAAUAAUUUUGAUCUGAGAUUUGGGCUACAUAUAUAUUAUGUGCAUAUGUUCUUUUAUUUUUGAAACUUAUGCGCAUGUGUUCUUUAAAAGGUGAAAUCGAUAGCUCUCUUUCUUUAUCUACUUGAGAGUAUAAUUCUUAAUACUAACUAGAAGAGGGUAAAAAUAGUGAUAUGUGUGUUUUUGGGGUAUGCAAUGCAUUUAACUUUGGCUAUCGAGUCCAAAUAAAUAUAUAUAUAUAUAUAUACUAUCUAUUUGGGAAGUCAACAAAAAAUAAUUAACAAAAAUUGUCGUAGAAAUAAAAAAAUUAAGGGGAAUUUGUCAAAUAUAACUCAAAACUUGAUUUUAACCCCCAAAAUAUCACAAACUUGAAUCAAAUGCAAAAGUAACCCAAAAAGUUUGUGAAAUUACAACCAGCCCCCUAUGGUCAAAAAAAAAACCAUAAUUCACUUUUACGAAUAUAAUCUCGUAAAGUCUUCUGAGAUUUUGUAAGUCCUCUAUGGUUCUGUAAGUUUUCUGGAAGUCUUUUCAUAUAGUAGACCUUAAAAAUAAGGGAGAAUUGCCAAGUGUGACUCAAAACUUGGAGUCAAACCCAAAACAAUACCCCAACUUGGGUCAAACGCAAAAGUAACCUAAAAGGCUAUUGAAAUUACAACUAUCCCCUUGUGACCAAACAAAAAAACGGAAUUUUUUUUACGUUUCUACCCCUCGCAAGUCGUCUGUUUAGACGACUUGAAAAUAAGUCGUCCAGACGACUUAACUGAAAGUCGUCUGGACAGUUAGUCUUAAACAUAAUUUAAAAAUUUUGUAAAAAAUAUUUUGAUAAGUGAAAAAUGGGAAUUAUGUAAUUAACAUAUGUCUUAGGAGGUAUAAAUUAAGAUAUAACAAAUUUCAAUUGUUUUCAGCAUAGAUGAGUGAAAGUAGUGAGUCAUGAUAUUCUUUAGUUUAUGUUUCAUCAACAUAUGUUGUAGUAUUGUAUGUGUUCUUAGGGUUAGAUUUUGGAAAGCAUUAAAACCGUUUUUGAAAAUUUUUAAAAUUACUUAUCCGUGUUCAUUUCUGUGUAUAGUAAACACUAUUUAAGUAUAAUUUGAUUUUAUAACGUGGUUAGUUAGUUAAUCUAGUCAUUUUAGUUUAGGGGUUCAUUUUAGGGUCUAGGACGACUUAAUAUUUUGUCGUCUGAAAACAGACGACUAAAUAUUAAGUCGUCUGUUGUACAUUAUCAGCCAGAAUAAGUCGUCUAAACCGGACCAAACCUUAAAGUUUACCAAUGUACUUUUAAAGCUAACCGGAUUAUUUACCCAAUAUAUAAGGUGAUUUUUUUUUUUUUUGUUUCAUUUUUCGCGAAAUUCAGAAACCCUAACAGUUCUCUCUCAAAGGCGAUUUCGAAUUCCCACGAUUUCCGAACAAACCAUCGUUCUCAACGUCGGCUAUCUAUCUCACUUCAUUCUCACCGUUGUCGCCGCAGCUUCUUCUAACCCUAGCGCCGCCGAUUCCUCUAAACCCUAGCGCCGCCGAUUCCUCUAAACCCUAGCGCCGCCGCUUCCACUAUUUCCGAACAAACCGUCGCCCUCGCCACCGUGGUCACCAACGUUCUCACCGCCGCUUCCUCUAAACACUAGCGCCGCCGCUUCUUCUAAACCCUAGCGCCGCCGCUUCUUCUCUGUAAACCUUAGCGCCGUUUCUCUGUAAACCCUAACGCCGCUAAGUCAUCAAUCUCGAGGAAAAGAUGAACAUAAAACGUUGUCUCUAUCAAUUUACUCAUUCUCACCGUUUCACGUUUAUUUUUUCAGAUCUAUAACCGCAAUGACGAGUACUCCAACUCCUUCUGCGACUGGAAGACUUGUAAGUAAUUUAAGUCGUCCGGCUUUGUCUUCCAACUGGACGACUUAGUAGAUGACUUAAAUAUAAGUCGUCCAUUUGGAAGACUUUCCAGACGACUUAAAUUUAAGUCGUCUACUAAGUCGUCUGGACUUAUAUUGUUGUCUUUGAUUAUUUUGCAGACAAAAAGGAUGGAUAUUCCAGAACUCCCCCGUAGGUUAUACACAUCAGGGGAAGAGCCAGAAGCCCACAAUAGCAUUUCGUAUCAUACGGAUAACAGCAAGUUGCAUACUGCUCUUAGGAAAGCUCUUACUGAUGACGAAUUUGAAGAGCUCAAGGAGUCGAGUUUGGGAGUUUUCAUCAAGUUCAAGGAGCAGGGAUUUGGUUGGGCUUCAAGGCUGGUUCACUACAUGCUCAGUUUCAAGCUGGACAUUAAGAAGAAGUAUGAGAUGUGGUCUCUCGUUGGUCCAGAACCUUUGAGGUUUUCACUGUUAGAGUUUGAAAACCUCACUGGUCUAAACUGCGAGUACAUCGAGGACCUUGAGACACCAAAAUGUGACGUUACCCCAGAGAUGGUUUCUUUCUGGGGGAUGCUGGGAGUUCAUCUGGAAGCUGGGCCAACUACUGAUCAGAUAAUAGCAGCACUGAAGAGAUGCGGGGAUUGGUCCAGGGAAGAUCGCAAGCGGCUCGCGUACCUCUCCAUCUUCACUGGAUUCAUUGAAGGGAGAAAGUUUUCAACCGCUACACGAUCUACUCUGGCAAGGCUAGUGAUGGAUUUAGAACGGUUUGAGAAUUAUCCAUGGGGGAGAGUCGCGUUUAAGGUGCUGAUGGACUCUUUGUGGAACAAAGAAAUUGCUGGCUGUUACACCGUGGAUGGGUUUAUACAAGUUCUUCAAGUCUGGACGUACACAGCUAUGCCGGAAUUGGGUGCUAGUAUUGGUGGUCCCAGAGCAGACAGUCCGUCUCCACCGAUACUGGCUUACGAGGGCAGCAGAGGCCGCAGAUCAAUGAAAGCUGCUAUCUUGAGUCAGGUAUUUACUUCAAUCCAAAAGACUGCGCAGACGACUUAUUAUAAGUCGUCUGGAAGGUCGUCCAGCUUGACGACUUAUUAGACGACUUAUAAUAAGUCGUCUGGAAAGUCUUCCCAGCUGGACGACUUAUCGGACGACUUAAUUAAGUCGUCUGGAAAGUCUUCCAUCUGGACGACUUAUUAGACGACUUAUAAUAAGUCGUCUGGAAAGUCUUCCCAGCUGGACGACUUAUCGGACGACUUAAUUAAGUCGUCUGGAAAGUCUUCCAUCUGGACGACUUAUUAGACGACUUAUUAUAAGUCGUCUGGAAGGUCUUCCAUCUGGACGACUUAUUAGACGACUUAUAAUAAGGCGUCUGGAAAGUCUUCCCAGCUGGACGACUUAUCGGACGACUUAAUUAAGUCGUCUGGAAAGUCUUCCAUCUGGACGACUUAUUAGACGACUUAUUAUAAGUCGUCUGGAAGGUCUUCCAGCUGGACGACUUAGUAGACGACUUAUAAUUAAGUCGUCUAUUUAGUAUUUUUUUUCAAAUAUCUAACUCGAUUCUUCUAUUUACUGCAGACCCGCGUGAUCAACUUUGUUGAGAAGGACAUUAGUGAAAUGUGGCCAAAAUGGGACUCUGAGGUUGAGGACCUGCCCGCGGAGAACAUCAUUAAAGUCAUGUAUGAGCGGAGACCGUGGAAGUGGACCAUGGAUUGCUGGGAAGUCACUGGUACUAAGGUCAAUACAAAACCUAAGGUUGUGACUCCAUCGAAGAAGGCCAAAGAGAUGGUUGUGGUGUAGGAGGAGGAGGAGGAGGAGGAAGACAAUCCAAGACCUCGGAAGAAAGCUCGUAAAGAGGCUCCUAAAGAGGCUAGUGAAGAGGCUAGAGAAGAGGCUAGAGGGGUGACCAGAGAGGAGUUGGAAAUUAUGUUCAAGGGCGUAGCUGACUGCAUGAAAAAAGGGUUUAAUAAGUGCAUGAGGGAGUUUAGGAAGUUGUCCGAUAGAUUGGAAGCUGUGGAGAAGAAGGUUGGUGUCACCAAUCAGGCUACCCCUCCACCUCUAACCAAUCAGGCUACCCCUCAAGAUAAACAGCCUACCCCUCUUGCCAAAGAAACCGGGGGUAGAAACAAACAGGCUACCCCUCAUGCCAAUGAAACCGUGGUUAGUAACCAGCCUCCUCCUCAUCAAACCAAACAGCAGCCUCCUCCUCCUCAAAAGAAACAGCAGCAGCCUCCUCCUCCUCAAAAGAAACAGCCUCCUCCUCAAAAGAAACAGCCUCCUCAAAUCAAAGAGGUUAGUAUCAAAUCCAGGGUUAACUAGUUGUCCAGACGACUGUAAAAGUUGUCUGGACGACUAGUUGACCCUGGACGACUUAAACGUAAGUUGUCUGGACGACUAGUUGACCACGGAAGACUUAAUUUUAAGUCGUCCAGGGUCAACUAGUCGUCCAGACAACUUUUAUUUAAGUCGUCCAGGGUUAACUUGUGUGCAACUUUUAUUGCAGAGAUGGUUGCCGGAGGAUACAGCAACCGAGGCGAACUCGGUAAAUAAGAUCUUGCCGGAGGAUAAAGCAGAUGGUGUCACCUCCAAAGAGAUUGUUGCUGUCACUUCCACCGAUCACCAACCGAGCCUCGCUUCCACCGAUCAACAACCGAGCCUCGCUUCCACCGAGCCAAGCGAUCCAGUUUCAGAACCGAGCCUGGUUGUAUUGGACAAGCGUGCAAAGAGUAAACGAGCGAAGAAACCUGCUCCCACUGUGAGAUCUCCUUAUACGGCAGAGAAAAAAAAAGAUAAAGUGGCAGCCUAUAAUCCAUUUCCGCCAGUAAACAAAGAUAAGUUGAAGGAACUCGCUGAUUGGUUGAAAACUGAUCCGUAAGUGAUUGCUUUACCCAUAAUAGCUUGAUUUAGUCGUCCAAAACUGAUUGCUUUUUUGUUUGCAGUCAUUAUUUAACUAAGACCGAGGACAAACCACGUACAUCACCAACAAGGUGGUACCACUUCCUCCGGACAGCCAGAGGAUGGCUGGAAGACUGCGUAAGUCUUCUGCACACGAUUUAAGUCGUCUACAAAGUCGUCCAAGUAGACUACUUUCCAGACGACUUAAAGAUAAAUCGUCUGGAAAGUCGUCUACUUGGACGACCACGUAGACGACUUAAAUAUAAGUCGUCUUCGUCUGGUAACUUCUAACUUGUUAUAUUUAAUAUGCAGCAUAUAGAUGCUUGGAUUAAUGUGCUAAGGCAGAGGUAUCAGGAGAACCCACAAGCUUUCAGGAGCGAGCGAAUGUGCUUCCUGGAUCACAACUUUUCUCAGUCUUGGAGAGAGCAGUAUCAGCUCUUCAAAACAUCGGAACCUGAUCACAAAGGUUUAGGAAGAGUUCUACCUGGUGGGGCGUCGUAUUUUUAUGACGGAUCAAUACCUUCAUUUUGCCAAUCAAACAAGAAGUGGGGGGAGGACAUUGAUGAUAUCUAUGCGCCAGUGAACUUGGACGACAAGCAUUGGGUUGCUAUUUGGAUAUCGAUCCCUAAGAGGCACAUAGUCGUCUGGGACAGCAUACCUUCAUCUAGUGUACCAGACGCAUGGGAUGCGAUAAUGGAGCCUUUUCUCCAGAUGGUCCCUUAUCUGCUUGUUGAGUGCGCAGCCACCGACGAAAUGCGGGUCAAAUACGGGUUGGAGCCAUACACAUAUGAGAGACCUCUGAAAGGUGUACCCACGGCCAACAAUGGUGAUUGUGGCGUGUACACUGUAAAGUACAUUGAAUGUCAUGCGCUCGGGGGCUCCUUUGACCCUAAAGACUUUGCUAGGUGCAACGCGAAGAAAAUGAGGGAUAAUAUGGCGGUGGAUAUAUGGAAGGAGCUUGUUGAUCAGCAUCUGAAAGAAAAUGUGGAUGGUGAUAAGUUCGUGGGCAUGUAUGAUUAGAUUUGUAUUUGAACAUGAUUUUUUAACAUGAGUUUUGUAUUUGAACAUGAUUUUUUAACAUGAUUUUUGUAUUUGAACAUGAUUUUUUAACAUGAUUUUUGUAUUUGAACAUGAUUUUUUAACAUGAUUUUUGUAUUUGAACAUGAUAUAAGUUGUCUGGAAGAAAUAAGUCGUCUGGAAGGUUUUCCAACUGGACGACUUACAAAUAAGUCGUCUAGAAGGUUUGGACGACUUAUUAUAAGUCGUCUGGAAGGUUUUCCAACUGGACGACUUACAAAUAAGUCGUCUAGAAGGUUUGGACGACUUGAAGGGAUAGUAGAAGGUCGUCUAAAAAUAAAAUACACUUGAAGGGAUAGUAGAAGGUCGUCUAAAAAUAAAAUACACUGGACGACUUAGUAGAAGGUCGUCUAAAAAUAAAAUACACUUGAAGGGAUAGUAGAAGGUCGUCUAAAAAUAAAAUACACUGGACGACUUAGUAGAAGGUCGUCUAAAAAUAAAAUACACUGGACGACUAAAAAUUUAGUCGUCUGGACGGGUAAUCAAGACUGGACGACUUAAAUUUAGGUCGUCUGGACAACUAGUCAACUGGUUGUGUACAUUGUGGUUUCGUAUGGCCAGUUUCCUUGCAGUUUGAGCAUCUCCGUGCCCUGUGUUUCUUCCUGGGUUUGUGUCCUCUCAUCCUAGAUAGCUCCAACCAAGAUUGCCAUCUUGAUUUCUUCGGUCUCCCCCGACCACGCUUUAGUUCUGGAGGAAAGCAUUCUCGUUCCUCAAUAUGUUGUGACACGAUAGGAUAUAUAUUCUCUGAGUAUCCUGCAUACAGAUAAUUCUUUGAGUACAGUGGACAUACAAGUGUGGAGAUAUGCAAACCAGCAUGUAUUCCAGCAGCUAUAGCAUGAGAGCAAGGUAUUUUCUCCACUCCAUAGACACCACAAUCACACUUUGCAUGUUCCAAAUCAACCACACAGUCCAUUUUGCCACCUUUGACAAAGAAAUGCCAUCCAUCAAUUGGUUCAACCGUCAUCGUACCCGCUAUCUCUUCUCGAACAGCAAGCAAGUAUUCAACACCCCCGCUAUGUUCAGUUGUGAGACUCAAAGCAUCUUGUCUCCUUUUCCAAUACCAUUUUCCUAACUUCUGCCUUAUGAACUCCAGCAGGAACGUAAUCGGAAAUCCUCUUGCUCGCUUCAGUGCGGAAUUAAUAGAUUCAGCAAUGUUGCUUGUUUUUAUGUUGAACCUGUUCCCCUUACAAUAAACCCUUGACCAUAGCCUGACGUCGGCUUUCUCCAAAUACGUUGCAAGUUCCGGGUUUGCACUCCGUAUCUCAGCCAUGUACCGGUCAAAAUCGUAAACCGUGUGAGCAUAAGCAGCCCCUUUCACCAAGUACAUGAGAUGUUUCCCUUUAAACUUUUUGACAAUGUUAUCUUGAAGGUGAUAAUAACAUAUUCCUCGGGUUGCCCAAGGAAACACCUUAUCACACGCACUUUUAAUGGCCUUGUGCCGGUCGGAGACUAUCACCAGAGGCUUGUCAUGAGAUAUACAACUAGCCAAUUUUGUGAAAAACCAUUCCCAAGAAGGUAUAUCUUCCUCAUCCACGAUCCCAAAAGCCAAUGGGAAUAUCUGAAAAUUGCCAUCUUGUGCGGCUGCAACUAACAUAGUUCCUCCAUACUUUCCACUUAGGUGAGUUCCAUCCACCACAAUGACCCUUCUCUGAUACUUAAAACCUUUGAUAGAAGCUCCAAAAGAGAGAAAUAGAUACUUAAAUCUUUUCAUAGAAUCAAGUUCUAUCGCCGUGAUAGAAUCAGGAUUUGCAAUGGAGAUUUGCUCGAGAUAUGAUGCCAGACGCGAAUACCCUUCUUCUGCUGAUCCUCUCACCAAUCUUUGUGCAUAUAACAGUGCUCUGUAUGAAGUGGUGUAAUCAAGCGCCAUGCCAAACAUGUUCCUCAUUGCAUCAGUGAUAUGCUGCGGAGUUAUCCCAUCAAUGAUUCCAACACGAUCAAUGAAAAGACUACCUACAUACUUCGGAGUACAGUGUCUCCGCUGAGCGAUUCGGUCUCCCGCUGAGCAUAAAUGUUUUUCCACAUACUUUGUUACCCAAAACGUGUUUGUCCCAUGUUUGACACUCGCUCUGACCUUCCAUCCACAAUAGCUAACCGGACAUGUUGCCACAACGAGAGUUUUCGUUGAUUUGUAUAAUCUGAAAGAAAACUUACCCCUCACUGCUGCCAACCGCAGCUCUGAAAGCAGUGCACCCUUGCUAACAAAACUCUGGUUGACAUAGAUACUGGUACCAUUCGAUUUUCCUCCUUCAAUAGCAUUUGUCUUAGCAUAUGUCUUUUGGAUUUCUUCAAAACAAAUAUUAUCAUCAUCUUCCUCGUCCUCAUCUGGAACCUUUCCAUAAAGACUGUAAUCCCCACCAUUCUGAUCCGUUUCACCAACAAUAGAAUUAUCAGCAUCCUCCUCCCCAUUUUCCUCCUCCCCAUCUUGAUUUUCAUCUUCAACAAACUCAUUAUCACCAACAUCUUCAAAACAUUCAUCAGCUUCAUCAUCAUCACCAACAUCUUCUUCCCAUUCACCAGCUUCAUCAUCAUCACCAACAUCUUCUUCCCAUUCACCAGCUUCAUCAUUAUCACCAACAUCUUUUUCCCAUUCACCAGCUUCAUCAAUAUCCCUUUUCUCUGAAACCGUUUCGACCUUGCUGCGGCUUGAUACACAAAGACAUACUCUAUGGGUUUUGAGUAUCUCCAGCAAGUUUCGAACUUGUCUAUCACUUGUAACAUGAAUGGGAAGACUGCCUGGAGCCAUCAUCAUUUCUGCUGGUAAUGAGUAGCUAAUCUCCACACUCACUGUUCUCAUGUCCAGGUUAUAAUCUUCUUGAGCCAUUGCAACAAGUUCAGCAUGUGUUGAAUCUUCAUUCAAUAAAAACAAUCUUGCUCCUUUGAGAUCAUCAACCACAAAAUCCCAACGGAAAUCUCUCAACAACCAUUCUCCAUACACUGCAUGUAACUGAAAAAUCAUCUGCAAAUAUUCAAAAUAAAACACAUUAGUAAACAUAGAGAAAAUGAAGAAGUUCAAUAAACAUUGCCGCAGACGACUUAGCAUUAAGUCGUCCAGAAGACUUAAAGGUAAGUCGUCUAAAGAGGUCACUUUUGCAAUUGAAAAUUAAAAGGGACGACUUAAUUCUAAGUCGUCCGGCUUUGUUUGUUAAAAAAAAAACUUCAGACGACUUAUAUAUAAGUCGUCUACGAGAAACGGGCUAGUUUUGCAUUUGACCGAAUCGUGUCAGAUCUUUGACUAUUUCUGGACGACUUAUAAUUCAGUCGUCUCUGGGAAAGUUAAAAUUUCAAUAUUUUAUGAAAACUUGACGACUUACGUGUAAGUCGUCCUAGGUUAGUUUUGUAAUUGAAAAAUAAAACUUGAAAUUUAACUUUCUCCAGACGACUUAGAUGAAAGUCGUCCAGCUAAACGACUUAAUUUAAGGUCGUCCGGGAUAAGCAAGGUUUGACCAGAAAAUUGGGAAAAAUUCUGGACGACUUCGCUUUCCCCGGACGACUUUAAAUUAAGUCUUCUGGAGGGACGACUUUAUAUUAAGUCGUCUGGUUAAAGUUAAAUUAUGAAGUUUUAUUUUUCAAUUACAAAACUAACCUAGGACGACUUACACGUAAGUCGUCAAGUUUUCAUAAAAUAUUGAAAUUUUAACUUUCCCAGAGACGACUGAAUUAUAAGUCGUCCAGAAAUAGUCAAAGAUCUGACACGAUUCGGUCAAAUGCAAAACUAGCCCGUUUCUCGUAGACGACGUAUAUAUAAGUCGUCUGGAGUGUUUUUUUUUAACAAACAAAGCUGGACGACUUAAUUUAAGUCGUCCGUUUGACCAGAAGACUCAUCAGUAAGUCUUCUACAUACAGAUGACUUACUAGUAAGUCUUCUACGCGAACAGAUCUUGAAAAAAAAUUCAAAUUCGUACCUUAAACUAGGUGAGAUGACUUUGUUUGCACACAAGGUCUUCUCCAACCACCCAGAACCUCAAACGAAAGCAACCGUAAGUCAAAACGAAAGAAAUAUGGCUCUGUCAACCAUAGCCCAUAUUUUGAAUCAAAAGCUUGAGUUUUUUGGAUGAAUAUAGAGAGAAAGUGAAAGAAAUGUUGUUUUUAGUUCAUAACAAUUGAAACAGAGAGAGUGUAAAGAGAUUUACGUGCAUUAAAGGGCAAUAAAAGCUCCAAACAGUUCGUACAAGGUUGUUGCCACUAUUCAUUGCAGUGGCAAUAUUGUAAAUACUUGAAGAAGAUGAGGUUGAGACAGUAAAGAAGCCAUUUUUGAAAAAAAAAAAAAAAAAUGUUAAUGGCAUUUUCGUAGAUAAAAUGCAGGUGUGGGGUUAAAAUCUCAAAAAAAAAAGGAGUCAAAAGAAAAGGUUAGUUUUCUGUUUGACUCCAAGUUUUGAGUCACUUUUGCAAAAAGCCCUAAAAAUAAUUUAUAAAUUUUGUAAAAACUAUUUUGUUAGAGAAAAAAUUGAAAUCAUGUAACUAUAAACAUUUGUAAGUGAUAUAAACUAAAAUAUAAUAAAAUUGAAUUGUUUUUAAUAUAGAUGAGUGAAAAUAGUGAGUCAUGAUAUUCUUUGGUUUAAGGUUUGACAACAUAUGUUGUAGUAUUGUAUGUAUUCUUAGAGUUAGAUUUUGGAAACUUAAUAUUUUUUGGAAAAAUUAAAUUUUGACAUAUACAUAUUUAGUUUUUAUAUAUUAAAUAUUUUUUAAAUUUAAUGAAAUGUUUGUUUCUAUUUAAUUAGUUAUUUGAGUUUAAGAUUUAUAUUUAGUGUCUAGACGACUUCCACAAAGUCUUCUCUGAAAAUCUUAUAACUCCCGCUAAAAAUAUUUUACUUUCCCGCUAAAAAUAUUUUAGUUUCUAGAAGACUUAAUUGAAAUUCUUCUAGGAAGUUUUCUAUUAGAAGACUUAAAUCGAAAAAAAUUAACCUUAUUAGAAUUUUUGUCUCCCUUUAUAAAGAAAAUUUACACAUUCUCUAUUUUCCUCUCAAAAGACUGCAACAAAAAUGUUAUGUUUCUUAUUCUAAAACUUUCAAACCUCUCUCUAAUCUCUUUGAACUUAAAAAUACCAAACUUUAUAUCAAUUUAUAGUUAUUUCAUGUUUCUUAUUGAUUUAUUUUGUUUUUGCAGAUUUUUCAUUUCAUGGUUCUUAUCUUCCACUCUUUUAAGGGUAGAUCUAUAAAUCUUAUUUUUCUUAUUUGGUAACCUAUUGUUGCUUAAAGAUUUUACCUUUUGAAAACUCUUUUGGUUAUUUUAAAUUCGUACUUUAUUUUUGAAGUUUUUCUAUGUUUUGAACUUUUGGAUAUGCAGGUUUUUUCAGAGCUGAGACAGACAUGGAAGACUUCCAUGGAAGACUUCCAGGGAAGACUUCUCGGAAGUCUUCUACCAUUUAAUGCACUAGAAGAUUUCCUGGAAGUCUUCUGGCGGAAUCUUCUCCCAUGUCUCCUCGUUCAUUUCAGAUAUGAGUGUUUUGGUAAGUAUAUAUGUCUAGAUUUUUCUUCAUUUGGUAACCUCUGGUUGCUUAAACCUUUUAUAUUUUUUACAAUUUAUCAUUUUUUUUGUAAACACCAAACUUUAUAUCAAUUUAUCAUUUUUUGUCUCAUGUCAUUCUCACUAAUUCAUCUUGUUUUGUAGAUUUUUCAUUACAUGGUUCUCAUCUUCCACUCCGUUAAAGGUAAAUCUAUAAAUCAUAUUUUCUUAUUUGGUAAUCUCUUGUUGAUUAAAGCUCUUUCUUUUUGAAAAUUCUUUUGGUUGUUUCAAGCUUUUACCUUAUUUUUGAAGUUUUUAUAUGUUUUGAAGACAUUUGAAUGGUUUUGGAUAUGCAUGUUUUUUAGAUCUAAGACAUAUUUCCUUAAAAAAUCUUCCAAGUCUUCUCGGAAAUCUUCUAACAUUUAAUGUACUAGACGACUUCCUGCAAGUCUUCUGGAAGUCUUCUGACAAAGUUUUCUCCCAUAUCAAGUGGAGUCUAAGCUUGUCUUUGUGGAGGAAUGGGAUAUAAUAGUUUUAUUUAUGGUAUGUUUUGUAAUUUGUAUGUAUACUCUUUUAGUUGUGAAUUCUUUUGUAAAUUUGAAAAAAAUAUUAACAAUUUUUUUGGUAAAUAUGUUCAUGUCUACAAUAUUAUCUUGCCAAAAAUACUUGCAUUAUUAAAGUUAUUUAUACAACUUCAAUAGCAAAACACAAUAAUACAAAAAAAUUAGUCAAAUUUAUUACAACUAAUGGAGAAAACUUCUCAAGAAAACUUAGUCAAAUUCACAAAAGAUCAAACAUUACAUUAGUUCAAACAUAUAACAGUUUCACUAGAAGUCUUGUGGGAAGUCUUCGGGAAGAUUUCUUCUCAGAAAAAAUUUCGGAAGACUUAAAUUUCAAGCAGAAAAUUUAAAUAUAAGCGGGAAAUUUAAGCGGAAAAUUAAAAUUUAAGCGGGAAACUCAAAUUUUAAGUGAAAAUUAAAAUUUCAAAUUUCAUGAAAGUUAAAAAAUAUAUCUUAUGAUCUAAGAAGACACAUCAAACCAUAUGACUUGAUAUUCUUAAAGUUAUUUAACACUUUUGAAAAUUAAAAAAUAUAUAUAUCUUAAAGUUGAAAAUACAAGUUUUACAACAACUAAUGUAGAAAACUUAUGGGAAAGUCUUCUCUCAUUAGGUAGAAACAUUAAGAAGCAUGACUGUUGUUAACUUCAUAAUUAUCACCAAUUAAGUUAUGAAUUUCAUUCAUGAGCCCAAUACAUUAAUUAACAAGAAAAUGUUAAAAAGUCUUUAUAGUUUUAGAGAAAAUAAAAUUUUAUUAAACGUUGACGUAGACGACUUCCACGGAAGUCGUCCGGAAGACUUACACGGAAAUCUUCUGGUCAAUGCGUAGGUUAGUUUUGCAAUUGACUUUAUGUGUCAGAAAUUUGACUUUUCCUAGACGACUUACGGAUAAACAUGUUAGUUUUGCAUUUGACCGUACUGUGUCAGAAAUUUGAUUUUUCCUAAACGGCUUACACGAAAGUCGUCCAAAAGAAAAGUAAAAUUUAAAUAUUUAUAUUUUUCUAGACGACUUCCAUGUAAACCGUUUCAGGUUACUUUUGCAAUUGAAAAAUAAAACUUAAAUAUUUUAUUUUAUCCGGACGACUUCCAUCACAGAAGUCUUCUGACAAACGACUCACACAUAAGUCUUCUGUAAUAACCAAGGUUUGACUAAAAUCUCGGAAUAAAAUCCUGGAAGACUUCCAUGUAAGUCUUCCGACAGACGACUUACAUAGAAGUCUUCUGUAAUAACCAAGGUUUGACUAGAAUAUCGAAAUAAAAUCCUGUAAGACUUUCGUGUAAGUCGUCUACCGGAAGACUUAUAUGGAAAUCAUCUGGAUAAAAUUAAAUAUUUAAGUUUUAAUUUUCAAUUGAAAAAGUAACCUGAAACGACUUAUUUGGAAGGUGUCUAGUAAAAGUUAAAUAUUUAAUUUUUAUUUUUCUGUUGGACGACUUCCGUGUAAGUUGUCUAGGAAAAGUCAAAUUUCUGACACAAUCCGGUCAAAUCCAAAACUGACAUGUUUAUCCUAGACGAUUUACCGGGAAGUCUUCUUUAAUUUUUUUGAAAACAAAGAAAACCGGAAGACUUCCAGAUAAGUCGUCUAGAAAAGAUACACAUAAAGUCAAUUGUGAAACUAACAUAUGCAUUGACCAGAGCAAAACUAACACAUGCAUUGACCAGAAGACUUCCGUGUAAGUCUUCUCGUCGGAGAAGACUUACACGUAAGUCUUCUGACAGACAGAUCUGGAAAAAAAAUUGAUUUCAUAACUUUAACCAGUGAGAUAACUUGUUUAGCUUCUCCAACCACACAAUACUUCACCACCAAAGCAACCUACUUGACCACGAAUCAUGAGCUUGAAUGGUUCGAAGAACCUUAAUAAUUUUAGAAUCAAAAUCUUGGGUUUUAUUAGAUGAAUAUAGAGAGAAAGUGAAACAGAUGUUUUUUUUAGUUCAUAAGAAAUAAGAUAAAGGAGUAAUCGAUUUUUAGGUGCAUUAAAAGCUUCAAAUUGGUUGUUCAUGGUGGUUGGUGUAUUGAUGGCAAUGACAAUAUUGUAAAUACUUGAAGAAGAUGGAGAUGAGAGAGUAAAACACUUAUUUUCGAAAAGAAAAAAAUAAUAAUAGCAUUUUCGUAAAUAAUCCGAACUUUUGGAGUGAAUAAGGCAAAUGAAAGUUCCAAAAAAACGUGGAUUAGUUUUGUGUUUGACUUCGAGUUUUGAGCCAUAUUUGCAAAAAUUAAAAUGAAAAAUUUGGAGUAACUAUUUAUUAAUAUAUAGAAAUAUAAAAGGUAUAGUAAAAAGUUAAAAUGUUAAAAUUAAAUUGAUAUCUAUAUUAACUCACUAAAAGUUUACAUCAAUAGAUUUUUACAGAAAAAGUUCACAAGUUUAUUUUUAGAAUAUAGUCUACAUGUUAUUGAGAAUGUUCAAGUAAACUUGUAAAAUAUAAAAACAAAUAUGGAAAAUUAAUGUCAUAAUUUAUUUAUUUUUAAAAUAUCAAUAUUUUUCAUAGAAGCAAAAUAUUUUCUUAAAUGUGAAAUAUUCAGUCAACAUAAAAAUAUUUAAUGUAUUAAAAAUACAAAAAAAAAUUAUUAAUAUAUAUAAAUUUAAAAGGUAUAGUAAAAACUAAAAACAAAUGUUAAAUUAAUUUGCUAUCAAUAUUAAUUUACAGGAAAAUUAGCAUCGAUAUAUUUUAACAGAAAAAAAGUUCACAAGUUUAUUUUACGAUAUAGACUAUAUGUUAUUGAGAAUGUUCACAUAGACUUUAAAAAUAUCAACAAAAUAUGAAAAUAACCAUUAUAAUUUAUUUCUUUUUAAAAUAUCGAGGGUUUUCAAAAAUAAAAAAAAUAUUACUAUGAAAUAAAAUGAACAUAAACAUCAAAUAUUGUAAACAAACAAAGAGAAAGUUAUCAAAAAUGAAUUAACUUGAUGUAGAUUUUUAUUCUGUAGAAGAGUAACAUUAAAAGAUAUUAAUAAAAACAUAAUAUAUCAUAUAUACCAAAAUAAAAUAGAUAACUAAUCUAUCAAAAUUAACCUAAUAAAAAAAUUAAAAGAAAAUUAAGAUGAAUUUUUGUAUGGGAACUUUUCUUAUUUCAAAAUUUUUGGUAUCAAUUUAAGUAAUAAUCUAAAUUUGGCAUCGUACUGAGUUGUUAAAUGCCAAUGAGUCUGAGAUGGUUGCAGUUAAAGAGAGGUUGCGGGAAAAUGUGGAAGAUGUCAGUUUCUGGAGAAGAAGCUCGGGUUUUAACGAUAAGUUUUCUACCCAGGAGACUGGUUUUUAACUCGUACCUCUGAUGCUCAUAUUGAUUGGGUACAAGCUGUUUGGUUCUUGCAGAUUACACCCAAGUAUGCUUUUAUUACAUGGUUAGCCAUGUUGGAUAGGCUAAGUACUAUGGACAGGGUUGCGAGAUGGAAUAGUGGUGUUGAUGUUACUUGUGCUCUUUGUAAGAAUGCUGCAGAGUCUCGUAGUCAUCUGUUCUUCGAGUGCUCUUACUCUUCUCAGAUAUGGGAGCAUCUUAUGCUUGGCAUCCUUAGGGGUUCGUAUACAAUUGACUGGAAUGCAAUUGUGGCUUUUCUUAAACAGUCUGAUAGAGAUAAGAAGAGAUCCUUUUGUUUGAGAUAUGGCUUUUAAACCAUCAUCUAUGUGAUAUGGCGUGAAAGGAAUAAGAUUAAGCACGGAGAAAGUCCAUUGCCUAUGAAUGCAGUGAAGAAGCUUAUUGAUAAGAGAGUUAGGAACAAGUUAAGCCUACUGAGAUCAAGAGGAGGUAAGGGUAUGGAAUCUGCCCUUCAAUAUUGGUUUAGCACAAGGACAUGAGGUUUGGAGGUUUGGGAAUACUUUGGAGGUUUGGGAGGGUUUGAAGUUAUUGAGUUUAAAGAUAGGAUUUCCUUUGUUAAGGUCUACACUCUGAUGUAAAAAAACUUUUUUGAUGAAUAAAAUUUAACAUUCAUUCAAAAAAAAAAAAUCUAAAUCUAUAUAUAUAAAAAAAUAUUUUCCUCCCUCCUAUUGCGCCACGUCAUAAAGUCAUUGAUUGUGAGUGCGACACCUGUCUUCUUUGCCUAAAACUCAUCGUUUCAUUAACUUAUGAUGUGGGCUGCUGCGUUUCAUAAUUGUUUACGAUUUAGUGGGCUUUUUGUUCACACCGUGAUAUAGCCCAAAUACAGAGAGAUAGCCACUAUAAUGAAAACAUAUGUAAAGACUGAAACUUUUGAAACGAGAAGGAAAAGAAGGAGUGUACCGUGAGUUUCUGGAUGCUACUGACUUCGCCUUGGUUGGAGGCGAUAUCAACGGUGACGGUUCAUUUCGCUGCCACCUCUGGUAACUCAAUAACAUUCAAGAUUUUAAAAUUAUUGGCGAUGGGUUUUGCAGAGUAUGAAGAGGCAGAGGGAAGAGGAUGAUGAGCAACAACAGUGAAGAGGUUAAAAAAGAAAAUUGAACCAAUUAAUAAAAAUAUUCCACAGUUUAAGCGGCGAGUAAAUCAGAUCGGUUUCUCAAUUCCGCUAUGACUCGAUCAAGAGAGAAAUAUAGUUUUUUCCAAAGAAACAUAGAUAUUAUCAAAGCAAAGAUUGCUCCGAACGAAUCAUAAGAAGAUAAGGAAGCAAUCAAAGGUUUUUAUUUCAUUUUUUAAUUAGUUAUUUGGAGUUAACAUGAAUGGAAGUGCCAUACACGCGCAGAGACAUGCGUGUUGGUGGGAUAUGAGAUACAUAUUUUAAACUUAAAAGGGAAAAAGACAGGAAGCAAUGCGUUCUAUGCACAUUGGGUCUUUUCUUUUGAGCCUUUUGUUUCAAAUAAAAACGACAGGACAUAACCGGAUUUACUUCGGUUUAAUUUAGAUUCGAUUCAACUUAAAUGCAUGCAUGAUUUUAAGCUACACAAGUUUUAUUCAAUAAAUAAACCAACAGAAAAUUUUAUUGUAAGAAAUUGGGUUAAUUGGAAUUCAUAAGGCAGAAAACAAUAAAUAAUUAAAAAUAAUUUUAUAAUUAUCUAGCUACUUAUAUUUAUAUAAUAUUUAUAUAUCAAAAUAGCAUAAAUAUACGAUUAUAAUUAAUAUUUAAAUAAAAAAUCCGGGCGUAAUUAACCCGGGCCGACCCUAGUUUAUAAUAUAUUUCAAAGUAUCUAAAAUAAACUAAAACGACUGAUGAUUUUAGUUCUUUUCUUUCUACCGAUCCACUUCAUUCUUUAGCUUUCAAUGAGUUUACAAAACUUUUGUUGAAAAACCACAGAUAAGAACAAUAUUGAGACACAUAUUGUUAAAAAGAUAGUUUAUCAAUGAGUUUAAGCUGUUUUUUAUCAAUCAAAAGGAAUUUAUAAAGUUGUUUUUAAUAGUCAACACUAUUAUAUUAUGUUUUGAGACAAUCAAAACCUUCAAACAAAUCAAAUAGGGUAUUAUGAAGUAAACUUAAAGAUGGGUGUACUCUAUACUUUAUUUUUUUAAAUUACAUCAUUAACAAUACAGCAAAUUACAUGUUAACUUCUUAUAAACAUAUAAUCCGAGUAACCAAUAAAAAGUAUAAAAUGAAUGCUUAUGUCAAUUUUAGUGAAGAAACCCGUACAAUAUAUAAAAUUAAAGAUGGUCUCAGACGAGUUUGUCAAACAAAUAUAUUUAGAGGAUAAUAUUUAUAAGAUAGGUGAAAAAUAAUCAAAAUAAACUUUCUAAAUAAGUUUCUAAAAUUACAGAAAGUAAAUAUAGACUCCACAAAAACAUAAGAGAGUGAUAUAAAAAUAGUCAAUAUACUAACAACAAAGUAAAAACAGUGAAAUUUUACAAAAUUCUAUAAAAAGUUCAAAAUUAAAAUAAUUAUGCCAUGUAAGAAAGGGCCCCUGUAAGAAAUCUACUAAAACUUUACUCUAAAUUACCAGAUGAAAGCAAUUGUCAGGAUUCAAAAAGUCUUAAGAAGCUUCAUGUAUUAUAAAAAUAUUUACAAUAGUAUUCUAGUUAAAUAAAGCUAUGUAUUAAAACAUUUAUCUUAAAUAUUUAUAAUCUUUAUCAUAAAUCUUUACAAUAUCUGUAAAUCUUAAUUUAAAAUUAAUUAAACAAUAAAAUUUCAACUAAAAUAUGUGCAAAAAAAUAUAAAAGAUCACACAUUUAUUGUAUAACUCUCAUAAGUAAAAAAGUAAAAUAAAUAAUAUGCAUAUAAAUUAAUCGUUUAUAAAAUAAGUAAAAAUUAUAAAAAAAAAUAUUUGCAAUAGUAUAGUAGCGGUUUAUAUGCAUUGAGUAAUUUAUACAGUAUUUAAAAAAUGGCAAUUCUCUCAAAUAGACUUUUUUAAGUUUUUAUCACAAAAAUAGCCCUCAAAAAAUAAAAUGACCAAAAUAACCUUUUUAUUUUGAAAAUUUUAAUAUUUUUUUUAUUUUUAAAAAUUUGAAUCUAUCCCCAAAGCCCAACCCCUUAACUCUAAACCCUAAGUCUUAGAUUAGUUAACUCUAAGGGUAUAAAUGCAUAUUUACCUUUCAAUAAAAUUUCUUUUGGUCAUUUUCUUUCUUGGAAGUCUAUUUUUGUGAAAAUAAACUAAAAAGGGCUAUCUAAGAGAAUUUCUCUUUAAAAAAUAAAAUUUUAUAUAAUAAAUAUAAAAAUGAUUAUAAAUAAAAUUUUAGUUUUAAAAAUACAGACAAAUAUAUACUAAAUAGUAAUUAUUUUCAAGAGUAUAAUUUUAUAAACAAAAUAAACGUAACUAGUAAAUUAUUAUAUUAUAUUUUAAAUAAAUUUUCCAAGAAAUAAAAUUUAUAUAAAUAAAAAUUUAUAAAUCAGUUCUAGUUGAAAACUUUUUUUAAAAAAAUUUAAACAAAAUUAUUAAUACAGAUUCGUGCGUAGCGAACAUAAAAUAUAGUUCACAUAAAAAGAUUAUGUGAUAGGAAAUUAUCGCUCAAGAUUGGUCCCAAGCAUAGGCUAUUGAAACACUGGCUUAUAAUUUCCAAAAUAUUAGGAAAAAUUUACAUAUAUAUAGAUCUUUAAAUUUGCAAAAAAAAAGAUUAUGUAAUUUUUUUUUAAAUUAACUACAACCUCUAAAAUUUCAGGUAUGCACUACUAUGAUAACAUAAAAGAAAGUUAGAAACAACAAUGAAAUACGUCAUUUCUUGCGGCCCUUUUACAAACAAAACAAAGCCAUCCCGUAAGGCACGCAUGAGCCACUUGCGGCCCUUUUUACACACAAACAAAACCAUCCCACAAGGCACGCAUGAGUCAUUAGCAAUGAACAAUAGUGCCAUCGUAAAAAAAAACAGUAGCAAAAUCGAUAAAAUAGGAAAGUUCAAAAUAUAGUUGUACUUGUGAUUUGCACCAGAAGUUUCAAUGGUUUUUCUCAUAGUGCCUUAUGUAAAGAACAGUUUUUAUAAGUAAUACCUAGUACGUACUGUAUAUAUAUGUAUUAAGCACAGCAAAGUUAUCACCGGUUCUAAACUUUUUCUUCGGUUCUAAUAUUCUCCCUCUGAACGAAACUAAUAUCCAAACAUGCAAAGAAUCGGGAGGAUUGGGAAGGUCAAAGAAAAUAACACACGACCGGUAAAUGUGGAAGAAACACGAGAAUAGUGGUGGUUUUGGAGACGGAAGAAAGAGAAACGGUAAACCAAGUCAUCUUGGUCUAGUGGUAAAAGGAUUCCAGUUGGAGUUUUCGUUCUGGUUUCGAGUAGCAUUAGCCACCUGUAGACACUCUAAGUGGCGAGAAAACUCGGAUUUCUAUGGACCUCGUAGGAUUAUUCUUUGGGCUUAAAAAGCCUUUGAAAUCCCCACGAUUAUCAGAAGAAAAAAAAAUAGUACAAGCAAAACCAUAAAAAAAGGAAGAAGAGAGAGAAAGAGGAGAGUUCUCGUACGGUACGGUAGACGAAAGGCCGUACUGACGAUGGAGGUUAAAUCUCAUCCUAAACGGGUUGAGAGAGUUUCACCUUUUGUUUUUACCGCAAACUCAGUGUACUCCUCAGUAUAGUUAAACAGUGAUAAUAUCUAGAUAAUAAAAGUAUAGUGAUCAGUUUAAUCGGAUGUAUUAUGUUGAAGCAAGUACAUCGCAUCAAUUGGGUCAUAUCAAGUGUGUCACAUAAAGUUUAUGGAUCUUACAUCUGAUUGUUGAGCUUAAGGCCGUGUAUCUGAUGAGCCCUAGAGUUUUAGGAUGCGGAAUAACUUUUAUAUAUAUCAUGUAUUCUUGUAAUCCUAAAAUAAAUUGAAUAUUGCCUCCAAAUAACAAAAAAAAAUUAUUUCUAGGCAUAGCCAAAUUGAUGAACCACAUUACAUAUAUUGUUGUAUCUUUGUUCAUAUAUAUUGUUGUGUCUUUGUUACAUCAUUUUAUCAUUUGUUUUAAUGCAACAUCACGACCAGUCUUAUGUUUUAAGAUUUGAGUUACAGUUAUAAAUAAAGUUUCUAUCAAAAAUACAAGUGAAAAUAAUAAAAUCCUAAACACUCCACGUACAGAUUUAUGUUAUAUGUUAUACUUUUUGUUUGUAUAUAAACUAUUAUUUAUAUUUCCAAAACCACCAUAGCAAUAUCUUAUUCUUAUUUCUACAAAUAAACAAUAUUAUCAACUUCAUCUAAUUUUGUGUUAGUCAAAUAUUUUUAUUUCCUUUCUUGUUCCUAUUUUUGAAUUAUUAGUUUUAAAAUUAUUAUUUUACAUAAUCUUAUUAGUUGUAAAUUCUUUUGGAUUGGAAAUAUAUAAAUUAUUUUGUUAUUGAUAUCGGAUAAAUAAUAUCAUCAGUAAGUAUAGUUCUUAGAAGAAUAUAUAUUGCAACUUAUUUUUGUUAAAAAUUAUUUUUAUACAUAUUAAAAAUAAGUUUUUAUUAUUUAUUUAUUUUUAAAUAGUUUAAUAGUUUUUGUUAUUAAUAAUAAUUCAUUAUUAUAUAUUUAUAUUUAUAUUUAUUUUAUUAAAAACUACUCUGGAACUUAUACAUCAAAAAUGUUACCAGUCAUCAGUUUUACUAAAAUAGUAACUCUUGUUUUUACUAAAAAUUUACCAUAUAAAAUUACAGUUUUUAUCACAUAAUUUUUACUGCAAGUUAUAUCGAAUUGUAAUACAUAUUGCAACUCGACUUCAAUAUUAUAUAUCAACAAACGGAGCCUUUGUUUCCAUAUAUCUGUAACAACAUACUAUCUCAUGUUGAGCAUAGGUAGACUUAUGUGAACAAAAGUCUUUAAUGUUUGUCUCAGGUGAAGAGAAGUCUCAAAACCAUAGUAUUUACGGGAAAAAAUCAAAUGUGUGUGGGAAAACCAAUGUAACUUGCAAACAAAAUAUACGUUAAUAGAAAUUUGGACUUUACAUAAGUACAGCAAAUAGUCUUUAGUUAUGAAUUAAAAGGCUAUAUUCACUAUUUCACUUAGUUAAUGGGUUUCGAACAUCAUUAUGGUUUUCUUAACACCACAUGGCAUGAAGAUUCUAUGAGAAUCUAAGAAUGAAAUGAUUAAGAUAGAACUUGAGUAGAUUAUGAGAGAUUAUGAAGAGUUUAGUGUAGAAUCAUGAUUGAGAGAGUAUGAUAAGAUAAAGAGAAACUCAGAACUGUAUAUUUAUUAUUAAUGACAAGAGUUGCAAUAUAUAGUGAGAGAUCAGUAGGGUUUUCGAAAUCAUAAAGGAUAGCUAAGCAUGUGAAGUCAACAAGGUUAGGAUAAGCUCUCUUUAACUCGGCCAAUCAGCGUUCCCACAUGCUUGGAGCAUCUAGGAUCUUGGACAAAGAUGCUCUUGCCUUUCCAGCUGUGCCAGCCUGUAAAGCCGCGCCUCUCUUAUCCUCCAACGGUCUGAUUCAUCAGCCAAAGCCCCUUCUCUUCCCAUAAGUUACUCGGGUAACUCCUUGUAACCGCGGUCAUGGUUUCACUGGUCUGAAUGUGUACGGACCGUACGGCCUUGUACGGCCUUGUACGGUCAGGCCACUGUGAACCUCUCCCAUCACACCAAUGCUUAACACACUCUCUUCAGUCUUAACCCCUUUGUACUUCACACUUGUAUACUCAACUCUUCUCAACACUCCCCCUCAAGCUUAGCUUUGUGAUACCUACAAGGGUAUUGAAGGAUCAAGCACCAUUUGAGGUACUGAACCAGCGCAAGCCAUCUUUGACAUAUAUGAGAGUGUUUGGAUGCUUGUGUUAUGUGUUGGUACCAGGAGAGUUGAGGAACAAGCUAGAAGCAAGAAGCAGAAAGGCAAUGUUCAUUGGCUACUCAACAACUCAAAAAGGAUAUAAGUGUUAUGAUCCAGAAGCUAGAAGGGUACUUGUAUCUAGAGAUGUGAAGUUCAUUGAAGNNNNNNNNNNNNNNNNNNNNNNNNNNNNNNNNNNNNNNNNNNNNNNNNNNNNNNNNNNNNNNNNNNNNNNNNNNNNNNNNNNNNNNNNNNNNNNNNNNNNNNNNNNNNNNNNNNNNNNNNNNNNNNNNNNNNNNNNNNNNNNNNNNNNNNNNNNNNNNNNNNNNNNNNNNNNNNNNNNNNNNNNNNNNNNNNNNNNNNNNNNNNNNNNNNNNNNNNNNNNNNNNNNNNNNNNNNNNNNNNNNNNNNNNNNNNNNNNNNNNNNNNNNNNNNNNNNNNNNNNNNNNNNNNNNNNNNNNNNNNNNNNNNNNNNNNNNNNNNNNNNNNNNNNNNNNNNNNNNNNNNNNNNNNNNNNNNNNNNNNNNNNNNNNNNNNNNNNNNNAACAAAGUAUGGUCUAGUUCAGACUUCCUGAAGCCUUUUCCAUUCAGUGUAGUACUCAGCUUGUGAUACCAGGCUCUAGGUGAUUGCUUCAAUCCAUAGAUAGCCUUCUUCAACCUUAGGACAUUCCCUGGCUUCACAAGACUCUCAAGACCCGGAAGAGGCUGCAUAUACACUUCAUCUUCAAGUUCCCCUUGUAGAAAUGCAUUCUUCACAUCCAUUUGCCACAAUCCCCAUUCAAGGUUGGUAGCAAUUGAUAAGAUGAUUCGGAUGGUGUGAAGCUUAGCCACUGGAGCAAAUGUGUCUAUGUAGUCCUCUCCAUAUGUCUGUGUAAACCCUCUAGCCACAAGCCUGGUCUUCUUCCUAUCAACUGUCCCAUCUGGUCUAUACUUGAUUGUAAAUAUCCAUUUACAUGACACUGCUCUCUUCCCUUUAGGCAGCUCACUCUCAUACCAAGUCCCAUUCUUGAUCAUAGCAUCAGACUCAUCCGCAACUGAGUUCCUCCAGUCUUCAUCCUUUAUAGCCUCCCCAUACGUUCUUGGUAUGUAGCUCUCAUCCAGACUUGUUAUGAAUGCACAAUGAUCCCUUGGAAACUCGGCAAAAGAGCACACUGCCUGACUUGGAUGAGCUACUGCUUGUGCAUUGUAGUAGACCCUGGUGUUUGCCCAGUUAGAUGGAUCUUUCCUUACUCUUGUACUCCUCCUCAGAGGCGCAGGCACACUCUCCACAACUGGAGCACUAGUCAUGUUCUCCAUUUCUUCUUCCUCUUCUUCAGGUACAAGUGGUGUACCUCCACUUUGAUCCCUUACUUCACUUGACUCUUCAUCAUUGAUCCCACUUUGAUCAUGACUAGCUGAGUCUCUUCCUUCUUCAUGUACCGCCUCAGACUUGUCUUCCCCCUCAUGAUCAAUGUGGGAUGUUUCUUCAGCUUCAUUCCUAGUAGGCGUCUCUUGCGCCUUUGGAUCCUGGGUUAGAUUAAUCCCAAGACCCUCUAAGAUCAUCCUAAGGCUUGUAGCCUUAUCAGAUGUUUGAGCUAGAUCCUUCAGAUCUUCCCAGCUCCUUUCUUCAUAGUAUCCUCUUGUUUCAAUGAACUUGACAUCUCUUGAUACCAGAACUCUUCUUGAUUCUGGAUCAAAGCAUUUAUACCCCUUUUGAGUAGUUGAGUAUCCCACAAACAUUGCUUUAGUACUCCUCGGUUCCAACUUGUUUCUCAUCUCCCCGGGGACAAGUACAUAACACAAACACCCAAACACUUUAAGAUGACUUAGAGAUGGCUUGGUCUUGUUCAAUACUUCAAACGGUGACUGAUCUUCCAAGAUUCUUGUAGGCACCCGGUUGAUCAAAUAGCACGCAGCUUGUACAGCAUCACUCCAAAAUCUCUUAGGUGCAUUGGUUUGGAACAUCAUGGAUCUAGCUACUUCCAUUAGGUGUCUAUUCUUUCUCUCCGCAACCCCAUUCUGUUGUGGAGUAUAAGGACAGCUUGUUUGAUGUAGAAUCCCAUGUAGAGCCAGAUGUUGCUUGAAGGCAUGACUUGUGUAUUCUCCACCAUUAUCUGAUCUGAAAAUCUUAAGCUUAGCAUUGUACUGGUUAGUUACAUAAGUCUGAAAAUUCUUAAAUGCUUCAAGAACUCUAUCCUUAGUCUUUAUAAGUGUUAUCCAGGUGUAUUUAGAUUUUUCAUCAAUGAAUGUGACAAAGUACUUAUAGUUUUCUCUAGAUAAGCAAGGAGCAGUCCAUACAUCAGAAUGUACAAGGUCAAAACACUUCUCAUAGAUAGUACUUGAUUUCUUAAAGACAGUCUUACAAUGUUUUCCCAAAAUACAUGCCUCACAAUCAUUAUUUUUAAACAUGACACCUGGUAACAUUAAGCUUAAGGCUCUAACAUGUGGAUGACCUAAUCUAGCAUGCCAUAAUGCAUCAUUAUUGAUACUUGAACUAGAACUAAACGAGCAAAUUGAACUGGAAAUAGGAGCUAAGUCUUCUAGCAUAUAGAGUUCUCCCUUUGUCACUCCUUUGCCAAUCAUCUUACUUGUCUCAAUAUCCUGAAACUUCACAUCAUUAGGACUGAAUAUAACAUUGCAAUGUAAAUCAGUAGUGCAUUUCUUAACAGAUAACAAGUUUGAUGUGAAUUCAGGCAUAUAAAGAGCUCUAGACUCUUUAUUAAACAGUUUUAGAUUUCCUAUUCCUGUUAUUGCAAUCCUAUCACCAUUAGCAAUCAUUACAUGACCCUGAGCAGGUUCUAUGUCUUUAAUCAAGCUAUUAUCACUAAUCAUGUGAUGGGAAGCACCUGAAUCUACAAUCAGUGAUUUUAUUACAUUAUGCGCAGCAAAGGUACUUGGUUGUCUCAGGUUAUCUAAUCUAGAUGCACCACUUAACUUGAAUUCAGGAUCACUACUGAGAUGAGCACAAGUCCUAUCUAGGUAUGAUGCAGCAAGAGAGUAACAAGGGUUAUUUCCAAUACAGUUACCAUUCUCCUUGAGAGCUUUGAUGAGGGCGUCUAUGUCUGAUCUCCGGAUCAACUCGCCUUCAGUGCUCCUCAAGGGUGUGUGCUGAGUAGUUAAGGCUCUCCCCUCACCCUCACGCAUUGCUGAGCCAGCCCCGGAUGAGCUAGCUUCUCCUCCUUCAUUAGAUAGGUGCGCCCUUGCCUCUCUAUCUUUCAUGAACUUAGCUGGCUUGAGAUGAGGAUGUAGGAUCCAGCACUGGCUCCUUUUGUGACCUAGCUUCUUGCAAUGAUCACAGUUGCCCCCAAACUUCCUCUCCUCACUCUUGUAUGCCGCUUUGUUUGCUUGAGCUCCAUCCGCAUGGUUAGCUAAGGUGAGCUCCCCCUUUCCUCCAAACAGCCCCACUGACCCUUCUUCUUUCUGUAUCUGAGCGCACACAUCUUCAAGUGAUGGUAGCUUUGGAGACCUCAGUAUGUGUUUGAUCAGAUCGUUAAAGAUAGGGUUCAAUGUCAGCAACAGCCCAAACACUUGAUCUUGAGCCCUCCUCUCCAUAAGAGUGUCAUGAUCAGUGGUGUUGGGUCUCAGCAUUUCUAGUUCAGACCAUAAGGCUCUGAACUUUCCCAAAUGCUUUACUCAACCUCUUCUUGCGCAAGUGUGUUGAUUGAUCUCUUCAACUCAAACACCCGGCUCAGAUUGGAUGUGUUCCCAUAGACCUUUUGAAGAGUAUCCCACAGGUCUUUUGGCGUCUCACAGUAGAUGUAGGCCUCCAAGAUUGAAGCUUCAAGCGACCCAUGAAGAACUGUCAACACCUUCAAGUCGUCUUGAUCCCACUUCUCUUGGUCCGCUACCAUCAGCUCUUGACCGCCUUCUCCCUCCGUAGAAACUGGCUUUGGAGUUCCAUCUGAGAUGUGACUCCACAAACCCUUGCUCCCAACUGCAGCUUUCACCAGGCGAGACCACAGCAAGUAGUUCCCACCUCCUUUCAACGUAACCGGAACCGUCAAAGUCUUGUUCUUGUCUUCCAUGAGUGUGACCGUGAGUAGAGAUGGUUUAGGAAUGAAGAUGGAGACUCUAGAGAUUUAGAAACCAGGAAAUGAGUAACCUGGCUCUGAUACCAUAUAAGAAUCUAAGAAUGAAAUGAUUAAGAUAGAACUUGGGUAGAUUAUGAGAGAUUAUGAAGAGUUUAGUGUAGAAUCAUGAUUGAGAGAGUAUGAUAAGAGAAAGGGAAACUCAGAACUGUAUGUUUAUUAUUAAUGACAAGAGUUACAAUAUAUAGUGAGAGAUCAGUAGGGUUUUCGAAAUCAUAAAGGAGAGCUAAGCAUGUGAAGUCAACAAGGUUAGGAUAAGCUCUCUUUAACUCGGCCAAUCAGCGUUCCCACAUGCUUGGAGCAUCUAGGAUCUUGGACAAAGAUGCUCUUGCCUUUCCAGCUGUGCCAGCCUGUAAAGCCGCGCCUCUCUUAUCCUCCAACGGUCUGAUUCAUCAGCCAAAGCCCCUUCUCUUCCUAUAAGUUACUCGGGUAACUCCUUGUAACCGCGGUCAAAGUUUCACUUGUCUGAAUGUGUACGGACCGUACGGCCUUGUACGGCCUUGUACGGUCAGGCCAAUGUGAACCUCUCCCAUCACACCAAUGCUUAACAUACUCUCUUCAGUCUUAACCCCUUUGUACUUCACACUUGUAUACUCAACUCUUCUCAACGGAUUCUAUCAAACCUAUAAACCAUCUUUAUAGUCUCAAACAAGUUAUAGUAAAUAUUUUCGACCAAAAAAGUUAUAGUGCAUAUGAAAAUUAAAAGACGUUAGUAUUAAAUAGAAACAAAGAAUCUCAAGAUAAUAAAACAAUAAUAAUCUCGAGAUAAUACUAAACUAUUAGUAAUUAGUGUAACUGGACAUAGGUAAACUUAUGUGAAAAGAAAAAGAGUCUUUACUUUUUGUCUUUGGUGAACAGAAGUCUUCGAACAUUAAAAUUUACAGAAAAAAAAAACAAUAAAUUUAGAGACAUAUCAAAAAGGAAAAACAAAAGUGGUCACUUUCAAAGCAGAAUAGUGGACACUUAACCGUGUUUAAGGGUUUUGAUGGUUUUCAAUAUUUUAUUCCCCUGGACAUUAUUAUUUGCAUGUGUCAUUACCACAUUUAUUUCACAAAAACAAUGACAUAGUUUUAAAAAAAACUGUGACAUUGCAUUAAGCUGAUUGUGACAUGUAAAAUUUCUUUAUGAAAUUAUAUUUGGCUAGAAUUUUUAAUAAGGUAAUGACUAUUAACUCUUAUACCAUUAUUAAACAUUUAAAUUUUAUGUAAUUAUAUUUAUUUUUGGCAAGACUUUUUAAAUAUUUAAUAAUUAAUAAUUUUUAUAUCAUCAUUAAAGAAAAUAUAAAAUAAACUAAACAUGACUACAUAUAACAUUUACAUUAAUUUAUAAAUUAAGAAAAUAAUUUAUAAAUUAAUUAAGAACAUGAUUUUCCACUAAAAGUAUUUUAACUAUAAUAAAAAAAAAUAUUAUUAAAAUUUAGGUAUUUAAAUAUAGACAAAAUUAAUUUGCAUAUGUGUCAUCACCAUAUUCAUUUUAAGAAAAUGACAUGGCUUUUGAAAUUAAAAUAUUAAUUAUAACUGUGUAUUAACAAAUAUAUAACUAAAAAAACACUAAUCAGUUUUUGUUGUUGAUGAUUAAUGAGUAAAACGUUUAUUAGCACUUAUCGGUUGAUUAGGUUAAUUAACAAAAAACUUUAUGGGCUUCAUGUAUUUAACUAAAACAAAUAAAAAUGUAACUUUAUUAAAUUUAAUAUAUAUAAAUAUAGACAUAUUUAAUAUUAGGAAAUAAGAUAAAUAUUUAAAUUAAAUAACCAAUAAAUAUAAUAAAAUAUAAAUAAAAAAAUUAUUUUUAGUAAAUGUAAUUAUAACUCUACUAAAUUUAAAUAAAAUAAAAUAGAAAUAGGUAACCAAAUUCGAAUUUUUUAAUAAAAAAAAUCACAUUUAUGAUUUUAUCUUUUUCCAAAUCGGUAAAUUUAAAAUAUAAAAAUAAUAAUAUCAAAAUGUAAAAUAAGUCUUGAAAAUAUUGUAAAGUUACAGUAAAAGUACAGAAAAUAAAAGAAAUGCUUUUCUAAAAUAAAAUAAAUACAAUAAGAUGCAAAGCUAAAAUUAGAGAAUAAUACAACACAGAGAUUAAAAUUUGAAGAAGUUUUCUUCUGAAUCAUUUUGCAUCUCAUUAUUCAACACCAUUUAUAUUUGGCUAUCAUUUUUAUGAUAUUUCAAAUUAUUUUUCGCAGUUUUGUUUGUUGUAUAAUAUUGUCCAUAUUCCACAUUAGAUCUACAUGUAUUUUUGAAAAAAUAAAUUCUAAUUUAUUGAUUCUCUCGAAAGAAAUAUUAAAUGAAAUUGCUAACUUUUAACAAUUCUAAAAUAUAUCUAUACAAUAAGGAAAUUGUAUUUUCAGUGAGGAAUGACCAAUAAACAUAUUGAAUUGUAAACAUAUAAUAUUUUUUGGUCGCAUCACUUCUAUACCCAUGACAAUGAACACUAUAGUGACUUCCAUGGUAAUUGUUUUCACAACAAAGUUGUUAAGAUGAGUUCCUUACCACUUACUAGUUUCUAAACAAUUAGAUUAAGUUGCUCACCUUCUAUCUCAGUUUCGAAUGCAAGACUCACAUGCUCACCGACGUGGCCUGGAACUCUGCCUCUCGUAAAGCAGGAGGUGGCUGGUACUGAAUUGAUCAUGAGAAUGUUGUUAUCUUGCAGGGUGCCCGAGUCUUUGAUCGUAUUUCCUCCCCACUGAUGGCGAAAGCCAUAACCAUCCGAUCUCUUGAAGCUGGAAUCACAGAAAUCUGCAUAAAAUCAGAUUGUCAAGUACUUAUUGCUGCUAUGUCUUCGAAACGUUUUCCGGCGGAUCUCUACGGAAUCUCCCGAGAUAUCGAGACUCUAUCUCUUUGCUUCCUUUGUAUUUCCUUUUGUUUUAUCCCGAGGAACCUGAACUCUAGAGCCAAUUCUUUGGCUAAGUCUGUAUUAAACUCUUCUCCCACCAACUAGUUUGGUCAGGGUAGCAUUUAUAAUAUUUGGUGUUCAAAAAAAAAAAUUAAGUUGCAUGACAUUGAUCUCACUCAAAUUACUCUAAAGAGUAAAUUUACUCUCUCAAAUAAGAGGUUUAUUGCAGUAUUUAGGGAUCGAAUCCACAAGGAGUUAGAGAACCUAAUAAAUCUAAUGGGUUUUGUUAAGUUGGAUGGUUUAAUGAUUAAAAUGUAAAUUUACAGUUUUGUUUGAGCAAGUAAUUGCUCGAUUGAUUGGUUGAGGUUUUGGUGCUUAAAAGAAAAUAGCUAGACUUAGGGUUUUUAUUUUUCCUUGAAAUUAUAAUCUUACGGAUGCCUAAUGGGUUGCAUGCAUGAUAAUGUAGAGCUCAACUACUAAGCAACAAGUCAAUCAGCUCUCGCGUUUCUGGACUUUUCUAUUAACUAGAUCUAAUGACCCAAACAAAUGUGUUCGAUCAAUAGCAAGUGUCGAUCGAUUAUCCUAUAGGGAUAUCGAUCGAUACACCUUUCACUCCGUCGAUCGAUUAUCCAAUAUGUAUAUCGAUCGACGCGCUUCUAAUUAGGAUUUAUGCGCAGGUUGAAUGAUGCUCACUAAGCUCACUAGAUCAGCUCUCGCCUUACUCUUAGCAAGAAACUUAGCUCAAUUAGAAUGGUUUCAGGAUGAGAAUGAAGCUAUCGCUUUUAUCUAACAAUCCUAGGGCAAAUUCUAGGUAGUUAAUCUAGAAUCAGGCAUUAAUGACAAUCCUAAUGAUUAUUAUCACAAUUCAGCAAUCUAUAGUUGGGGUUAAUCCCUCAUAACCUAUUUAAACCCUAAAAUCUAACAAUGGAACUAAUCAGACAUGGCCAAGCAAUUCAUAACAACAAUUAGGUAAGAAAACUUCAUUAGAAUAUUAAAUAGAUAUUAAUGGAGUUCCAAUCACAAAUAUAAUUUUGGAUCUUUUCUCCAAUAUAUCAAAAUCCUAAAAACCUUUUGCUGAUAUAAUAGUAAAACUAGAAACACAAGAAAAGCACACUUUGCCUCUAACAUGGUGGUAAGGCUUAUAUAAUUAGGUUAAAACUCGUCAGGGUAAUCUUGUAAAUUAGUGAAUACUUGGGCUUCAAGUCGGCUGUGACCAAACGGGCUUUCUGCGCGCUUCGCUGUCGAUCUAUGUUCACAUCGAUCGAUGUUCUGAUGUGAACAUCGAUCGAUAUUUGUUCCUCGAUAUCGACCGAUGGUCGAGCUCGACGGUCAUCUCGGAUGCUUACUCCAAAUAUCUCCAAAAUCAUCAAUUAUCUCCAAAUCACUCCUCAUCUUAUAAAUAUAAUAAAUAGAUUCUAUAAUAUAAUAAUUAGUAGUAAAAACACCUAUAAACCACGGUGAAAAUGGGUCAAAUUCGUGGUUUAUCAGACAUCGAUUAUGGACACAUAGUCUAUCCCGGAGAUUUCAAGAGCUGAUUGGAAAGGAAAAAAUUUAACUCUCAAUCCGCCUUAAAAAAAAAAAAUCCUCCUCUCAACAAAAGAAAAGUACAAAAGAUAGAGAAGCAUCGAGAGACUGAUCAUGCUUUGAUCAGAUUAGGGCUUGAGUAAUCUAGGACUUCUCCUUUAAGAUUACCAUUAACAUCGCAAGGAGAGAACGGUUACUCCCGUACAAACUUAUCUAUGUAUCUAUUGUUUAUAGCAUUAAAACCUUAUUUUUUUCUUAUUCGAUCAAAAAAUGUUUUGAUGCUAUAAACAAAAUAAAACAAUUUAAUAAAAUGAUGAUAAUAAUAAAAUUCAAGAAAAAUAACUAACAAAAACAAUUGUUAAUUAUGGUGUGAUUAAUAUACAAAUUUACUCAAGACUGUAUACUAUCUUUUAUAUAUAACUGCAUGUACUUGUAAAAUUGUUAAAUAAGCAUAAUUAUGAAAAUAAUAGAUAAAGAAUAAUUUGUAAAAGCAAUGGAUAAAAAGAUUAAGUUAAAGUUAAAAAUGUUGAUAAAUACAUAUAAAACAUUGGUUAGCCUUUAAAUAUUAGUGAAGUAUGAGUUAAGAAAUUUUUUUUAACAAAAACAAAAAAACUUUUUAAAACCAACACCACAAAAAUAAAACAUUUAAUAAAUAUGUAUAUUUUUAAUUUUAUAUUAAAUAAAUGCUCAAAGCCAAGGUUUAUUUUUCGAUUUAGUAGGCACGGCACCUAGUAAUAAUUCGUUCGUACGAGUUCAAUAUCUCCUCACUCUCUAUCUCGACUCUAUAUAAACUCUCUCGCAUAUUCACAUAUUCCACACAACUUCACAAAACAUGUCUUCUUCGUUUCUCUCCUCCACUGCUUCCUUCCUUUUUGUUCUUCUCUACAUUGGUUCCUUCCACGUCUCCGAUGGAGCUCAACAAGGAACAUACAUCGUUCACAUGGCGAAAUCUCAGAUGCCCUCGAGCUUCGACCACCACUCUCUCUGGUACGAGUCCUCUCUCAAGUCCAUCUCAGAAUCUGCUGAAAUGCUCUACACUUACAACAAUGCGAUUCACGGAUUUGCCACUCGGCUUACUCCCGAAGAAGCUGACUCGCUCAAGACUCAACCAGGUGUCAUCUCCGUUCGACCAGAGCAGCGGUAUGAGUUACACACCACUCGGACUCCACUAUUCCUCGGCCUCGGCGUACACAACUCCGGCCUGUUCCCUGAAACCGGUCCAGGCAGCGACGUCGUCAUCGGAGUUCUCGACACAGGUGUUUGGCCAGAGAGCAAAAGCUUCUCGGACGAAGGAUAUGGUCCUAUUCCGUCUACCUGGAAAGGCGAAUGCGAGGCUGGGACAAAAUUUACCACUU